Molecule: long non-coding RNA, 71133 nt
Filed under: Gossypium barbadense (sea-island cotton)
Lineage: Eukaryota; Viridiplantae; Streptophyta; Magnoliopsida; Malvales; Malvaceae
Description: long non-coding RNA (GBAR_LNC008925)
Source: RNAcentral
UUCUUCUUCUUCUCUUCUCCUUUCUUUCUUUUUUUUUCUUCUCCUUGCUGCUGCUUCUUGCUUCCCGAGUUGCUGCUUCUUCUUGCUUCCAGAAGUUGGUUUUAUAAUGGGGUGGUGCCGCCUCUAUCAGAGGCACAACCGGUGUCGCCUAUGCCAGAGGUACAACUGGUGCCGCCUCUGGCACCCACACAACCCCUUUUUUUGUUUUUAACCUUUUUUUUUCCUUUUUAACAGAAAAUGACAGAAUGAGUGAGACCCAGGGUGGUCACGCCACUGCUAUAGGCGGCACCACCCUGGUCCAUACCAUUUUCGUCAUUACUUUUUGCUUUAUACCAUUUCAGUAUAUUUUUUUUAAAACUAUAUUAGUAAAAAACCCACAAGAGGCAGAAGAGUAUGUUUUAAUUAUAUCUAAUUUAUUUUAAGAAGUCUUUUAAUUUUAUUUAUUUUCCUCAUUAAUAAUGUGGUAAUUUAUAAUGCAUCUUUUAAUACAUUAAAUAAAAUUAUAUUAACCCCUUUUUUUUUUCUUUGCCUUGCAAGCUGAACAAGGCUAACCUGUUUUUCUAAUUAAUUUUUUAAAAGGCUAAGAGGGAAGAAUAGACUAGACCAACUUGGAGGGUAUUUUAAAUAUUAUAAGACGUGAGAAUUAAAUAAACAUACCAAAUUUUGUUUGGACAAUAGAGAGUAAUUGAAUAAAACUAUAAUUAUUAGAAUAGUAAUUAUACUCGUUUGUAAUUACAAGAAAUUUUAAUUCCUUAAAUGUGUUUAGUUGACAAAGUGUAAUUACAUUGUAUUCCCUAAAGGUCUUGACGAUUUAAAUAUUAUUGGAACUUCCAAAAAACUUCACUUACAAUGAAUUGUUUAAAGAAAGAGAUGAAAGGUUUUGGAAAACUCCCGAAGAGCUUCAAUACCAAUUGGCUAUGCUAAUUUUGAAUAUUUAUUGAAUCCACAUAAAAGUAGAUCUCAAAUGAGAUAUUUAUUUAAAUGUGGAGGUACUACCACAUCAUGGUGUUCGACAAAAUAAACAUUAACUCCUGCCUCUUCAAAUCAUGUAGAAAUAAUUGCAAUGCAUGGAAUAAGCCGAGAAUGUAUUUGACUAAGGUUGUUGACCCAACAUAUCCAGAAGAUAUGUGAUUCAACUCUAUAAGAAAAGUGUCAACUAUUUUAUAGAAAGAUAUUACAGAAUGUAUAGCUCAAUUAAAAGGUGGUUACAUCAAAGGUGACAGAAUGAAAAGAUUUCAUCAAAAUUAUUCUUCAUUCAUGAUCUUAAGAAGAAAAGUGAUAUAAAAGUUCAAUAAGUUUGUUCUAGAAAUUUGGUAGUUCUUUUUACUAAGGCAUUGCAACCAUAACAUUUGAAAGACUAGUAUACAAGAUUGAAAUGCGUUGACUCAAAGAUGUACUGCGAUGCUAACAUUAGGGAGAGUUUUAUACACAUUGUAGUUUUGGCCUACUAGGUUUUACUAGUAAAGAGUUUUAUACACAUGCGUUGACUCAAAGAUGUACUAGUUUGAAGGGACAAGUAAUUUUUAUCUUAACUUUGUACUAGACAGUAGGUUUUUUGUUCAAUGAUGACAUGGCAAUGUCAACAUUAUUGUCAGAAUCCAACUAGUUUAACAGGUUGAAUUGAGAAUAGAAGGUUUAACAAAUUUCAUAUAAAUAAAAAUAACUUGAAUUGUUACGAAUAGGUAAAAAAUUAAAAAUUAAAAAUUAAAAAUCGAAAAUAAGAAAAUUCAAGUCUUUUUUUUUAGCAAAAUACGUAUCUAUCAUUAUGAUUUAGUUCAUUUUUAUCUUUGAAUUUUUGUAAAUAUAAAUUUUCUUAUUUUAAAAUUUUAAUAUAUAUUUUAUUUUUAUAUUUAUUAUUAAUUUUUAUGUUAUUUAAUCAUUUCAUUCAAUUAAUUGAAUCAAAAAUUGAAAAUACAAUCAGUUUGAUUUCUAUUCCAAUUAUUAUAACAUUGAAUAUCAAUGGCUAAACAUAUAUAGUGAUCUAAUGGCUAUAAAUAAAAUAGGCAUAAUGAUAAUUUUAAUUUUUAAUAUUUACAUCUUUUGUUAAUUUGAUUUAUAUUCUUUUUUUUAGUUAAAUUUGUCCAUUAAAUUUUUUAAAAAAGUCAAAUUAUGUUUUUAACAGAAAAGUUGAUUAAAACAUUAAUUUUCUAACGAUGUUAGCAUGGCAAUCCGCGUAACAAUUCAUGUAGUCUUUAUGAUGAUAUGACACUAUUUUUUUUUAUAUAUUACGUCAAAAAAUAAUUUAAAAAUUAUUAGAAAUAUUUAACAAAAUAAAAAUUUUAAAAAGUUCAUAAAAUUAAAAGAAUAAUAUGAAGUACACGUAAAUUGUUAUACAAGCAACCAUUUAAAAUUUUAACAUUUUAGUUAGUAUUUUUAUUAAAAUAAUAAUAAUUUAUUUUUUUUAAAAUGGAUGAUAGUUAAAUUCGAUUUUUUAAAAAAAAUUGAAGGUCAAAUUUAAUUAAUAACAACCAAAUUGAUAAAAAAAUAAAAACCUUAAUAAUUAAAUUUAUCAUAAUAUCGAUAAAAUAAUGCUGUAUUAAAAAAAUCACAUUAGAGCUGUCAGGAUACCUUAAAAAAUUUAUUUUCCAUUAAAUGUUAUUCCAUUAUUUUAAUUUUUACAGUCUUUCCUUGCCAUGUGAUCAUUUGAGCAGUAUUUAAUGAAUGAAUAUUGUAUUAUUUUGAAAAAUAAUUAAUUUAAAUAAAUAAAAAUAAAAAUCCUAACAUUUAACCUUGGAAUUUUUUGAAAUUUUACUAACGAACAUGAUGAGCAUGUUGAUGAUAUUUCAAAUAGAUUAGGACAAAUUAGAAGACUCAAAGCCUGAAUUAAGGAAAGUAAUUUCUAAUAACAAUGAAUAUGGUAACAAAAAUAUGUAAAUUUCCCCCUUUUAUUGUCGCUAUUGAUUUUUAUUUUUGUAUAAUAAUAGAAUUUUUGAAUGAUGAGAUUUAGAAAGCGUUUGGUUUAGAAAAUGAAAUUUACUUAGAUGUGUUAUAUUAUCUUUUAUAAUAUAUUUGAUUGGAUCGUAAGAGUUAUAUUAAUUUGUUUACCAAAUGUAAUUAAAAGUAUAUUUUACUAAUUAUCCUCGUAGGACUUUUAUUUUUAUUUUAUAUAAUUACAUGUAUUUCUAUUCAUUUUAUUAUUUGAGCCUAAUCUUAUUUAGAUUAAGGGUUGUAUUAAAAUAUAUCUCUCCCCACUCCAUGUUUACUUUACAAAGAUUUAAGCUUAUAGUAUUUUAUUUUACUAACAUAUUAAUGAGUUUCUCUUGUAAAUUAAUUUCAUAUAAUUUUUUUAAAUGAAAUUGAGGAUGAAUAAUAAGUCAAUAAGACUUCUCUUUUGAUCAAACUGAUAAGAAAAAAACAAAAAAACAAAAAAAAAAUACUUUCUUUUAUUAAAAUGUGUUACUAUUUUUUACUGUUUAAGGGUAAAUUUAAUCAAAAUUAAAGAAAAUGAAUGGUAAAAUUAUUAUAAAUUUAAAAUUUUUGGGUGGAAUGAAAUAGAUAAAAUAUAAUAUAAGACAAUUAAUUUUCCUCGUAAUAAUAAAUAUAAUAUAUAUAAUUGAAAAUUACUGAAGAAAAUAUUAAAGAAUUUAAGAAUUUAAGAAUUUAAGUCAUUAAUUAUUAUUUUGUUUUGGUUUAAGUAGAAUUAUAACAUCAUAUAUUCAACCCAAUCAUUGGGUCCGACCUACGAGAUACUACAAUUAUCAAAUUAGUAAAUUUAAAAUGUUAUGCAACAUUUAAUCAUUUAAAUACAUAAUUAAAUAGCAUUCAUGUACAUAAAUUAUUACACAAUCAUUUUUGGGGUUCUAUACGAGCUUACGAAAGCUCUUUUGUUAACCCGAGCUCGAAUUAGGACCAAUUUGUAAAGUUUUAAAACAAUUCAAGACCAAUGUCAUGACCUCACAAUCUCCACGUCGUAAUGUCGCCAACUCAGUAAGUCAUAUCGUGACUUCGAACAUGUCAACAUCGCAACAUCAUUCACUAUCGGCACCAUGUUGUUACAUUGGAUGUUUGUGGUUGUGACGAGAUACCUGUUUUUGACAAAAACAGCAUUUUGGUUCCAUUUCAAAUUCAUACCACUUCAUGCCAAUUAAAAUCACCUAACCAAUUCCACAACAAAACUAAUCAAACAUGAGUUCAACAUAUUCAAUAUGAAUCCAUCUCAAAGCAUUCAUUCAAAUACCAAAUUUACUUAAGCUAAAACAUGUUACAACAUACCAUUCAACUUCCACAACUAACCUAUCCAUUUCAUAUUGUACAACAUGAGGCUAUAUGACCUUAUCUUGAACUAAAACAAACAUACUUCAAGCAUACUUCCAAGCAUCACUUUUCAAAUAGGUAAAUUCCAACCAUUCAUUAACUUAACUACCUAUUCUACCUCCUUUUUACAACAUUCCACAUACCAAAGCAUAUAAGCAUAUAUCAUCACAUAUUCUAGCAUGAAACAUAACUAAUAUCAUACAUUUAACAAGUCACAAAGGCAACACAUUAUACAAAAUGGGCUAUGCCACACUUGCCAAAUGGUAAACACUUCCAAGUACUAAAGUAAACACUAAGACCCUUAUAUACAUGCCACAACACUAUACUUAAAAUGAUCACAUAACUACCGAUUUGAUGAUAGUGUGAAUUUCGAGAUGAUACAGCUUGACAAGUUCCGCAAGAUGAUGAUCUACAAGGGAAAGAAAACAAUGAGGAUAAGCAUAUAGAACGCUUAUUAAGUUCAUAUAUAAAAUACAAUGCUUACCUUUCUUCUUCUUUUUUACCUAAACAUUUUAAGCUACCUUAAAUUGGCAUAACUUUGGCUAGACAUGGCACUUAAAACAUCAACAAAGUGAGCAUUAAAUUAUAAUAAAAGAUCAUUUAAUGCUACAAGCACUUAACAUACCAAUUCAUGUUACUUUCAUGUAACUUAUCUCAAUGGUACAUUUAAUAAACAAUCAUAAGAUAUUAACAAGUAUACAUAAUUUAAAUCAAUCAUCGAUGUUACUAUCAAUCAUAAAAAUGUAUCAUUUUCAAUUCAAUCCAUUCAAUGACUUUUCAAUUUGUAUAUCAAUCUCAUUUCAUCACAUUUCAAAUUUUCAAUUUAAUUUAUAUUGUUUCCCUUGAUGAACCCUAGUAAAUGGACUCGAAUACAUAGGUAACUACACCACACCAGUUGCUUGUUCGAGCUGAAUACAUUUAUAUAUAUAUGGUUACUCAUCCGAGCUAAACCCAUAUCAUAACACAUCAGGUUACUCAUUUGAGUUAAACAUGUGUCACAUAAUACCCAAGAAUCCGCAACGAAUGUUGAAUCUCAUUAACAUAUAUAAUAAAUCUCAUACAAGGGCGUACAAGACCCUAUUGGCAUGUCAAUCGUAUCUUAAUCAUUUGCUAAGUUCACACGGGCAUCUUUAAACAUAUACAUUUCAAUUCAGUCCAAUUCUAGCCUUUCAUACCAAUUUACAAUUAAUCAAUUCAUAAUCAAACGUCCAUAUAUAAUUAUAUAUAUACAUGAAAUCAAACACAUAGCAACCUAAAAUAAUAAAUUCAUAUGGACUUUACCUAUUCAAAACACCAAAAAGUUGGUUCUUCAGGGACUAAUCAACAAUUUUUGCUUUUCCACGAUUAACUCCAUUUUGAUCCAAUUCUUGAUCUAUACACUACAGGAAAAUAGACUUUUAGCGGCGUUUUUUUUUGCCUUUAGCGGCUAAAACUAUUUGCGGCAUUUUCACAAGCGCCGCAAAAAACACUGCUAUAGUAAACGCCGCAAAUUUAUUGAAAAAAACGCCACAAAAGAUCAAGACUUUUAGUGGCACCGCUAAAAGUUAUGACUUUUAGCGGCAUUUGUAACAAAAGCGCCUCUAAAAGUCAUGGCUUUUAGUUGCACUUUUCCCACAAACGCUGCUAAAAACCGUGACUUUUAGCGGUGCUUUUGUUACAAACGCCGCUAAUUUUGAUAGAUUUGCAAUGUACAUUUUUCACCAAUAUUCAACCCUUCCUGCAUUAAAUCUAACCAAAAACAACAAAUAUAACAUGAAAUCCAACCAAACAUAGCAAAUGUAACAUAAAAAAUACAACAAAAAACAUUAAAUGAAAAUGAUACUUCGAUGUAAAUUAAUAAAUGAAGUAUAACUAAAAAAUUCUUACAAUAAUGUUAAACGUGACAAUGUUAAAAAAAUUAUUACAAGGAGAAAACAAAUGUCUAAGAUGGCGGCUUUUGCGACUGCUGAAACAUCUUCAUCAUAUGCUAAAGCUGUAGCUGAAGCUCAUCAUACUUUCUGCUCUGCUCUGCUACAAUCACUGUAGCCUCUGCCUCUCUCGCUUCUGCAUCCUCUCUAAGUUGUUGCUGGAGUUCUUCAUAUUUUCUUUCAACCUCGGCAAUUUGCUCAACUGUGCUCGCUUGCAUCUGAGCCAUCUGGUCUCUUAACCUCUGAACUUCAGCUUGAGCUUGACUCCCAGAAGGCAUGUAUUGCUGGGAGCCGAAUCUAAAAUAUUAGGUCGGGGUAACACCAGAUCCUUGAAAUUAAACCCGACCAUACCUUUCAGGACCUAAAACUUCAGUAAUAAUUCUUUUAUCAAUGUUCUCAAGAUUAACAGAACUAUCAGUCGAAGCAAUCGCUUCAUACUCUGCCUUCUUCUCCUUUAGUUUCUCCUAAUAAAUCAAUCAAAGAGUUAGAAACGAAAUAUAUAAUAAAAAGGAAUGCAACAUAACUUAACAUUAUUUAAAGCUACUAACGACGAAUUAAACCAUUAUAAUUAAACAUUAUAAUUAUUUAUAAUAAAUCAAUUUUUAUUAAGUAAAUAUACCAUAAUUUGUCCAGCUUCGGAUGUCAUAGGAGAUCCAUCUUUCUUCCUAUGCGUAAUCUCAAAAAGCUUAAGGCGUCUAACUUUUUGACCAGACGAGACUUCCUACAAUAUAGUAGAAAAAAUAUUAUUUCAUAGUAGAAAGUCAUUAAUAUUUGAUAGAAUUAAUAAAUUCAUAAUACCUCGGCCUCAACUACAGAAGUGAAACUUCUCAACCCUGCCGUGUGCGUGAAUUUUUGUUUUUGCCUGCUGCUUAUUCCAACUCGCUCACGGUCCUACAUAAUGUAAUUAUUAUAAUGUAUAUAGUAAACACUAUAUACCGGAAAAUUUAUAAGAAUUUGGAAUUACGUAAUACCUCUCCUUUCUUUGAAUUCCAGAAUCUAACCGCAUCUUCCCAUUGGUACCUCAGCAUUCCCGGCGGGACAUUUCGCAAUUUUUCUUUGAGGCUUAUGUCUUUCUUAAAAUAUUGUUUUUUCAAAGUGCUUUUAUGGUCUCUCCAUUUUUUACCCAAUGCCUUCUUGAUAUAGUCAUCCAAGACCUCUAAAGCAAAUAUCUCCUAAAAAAACACAAGUUUAAAAUGUAAAUACAAAUGAAACUUAAACUAAAGUAUUAUAAAUAACAAUUAGAUGUUUUGUUACCUUAAUAUUAUCGAGAGCUUGAUUUUUGUUACUAUCAGGCAUGUGAUGCCAUGAUUCGUAGUUGAUGGGCAACAUAUUGGCAUUUCGUGCUAUAAUGCCCAAAUAGCCUGCUAAAAAGUCGAGCUUCAGAUCCAACAGGCUGACGAUAACUGUUUCUACUUACUUUGACACGCUCAACAGGAUUUAAGUCAUAUAAAUAUUUAAGUAGCGUACGUCCUCGACCUCUGUGCGUCCCACCACUUUCAGCUGAAAAAUGAUAUGUUAUUAUUUAUAUUAAAAAUGAAAAAUAAAUCAAUAAUAAAAGUCAACACACAUUUAAAAUAAACUUAACAUUACUUUGAAAUUCUGCAGGCUCGUCAAGUGUCUCCGGCACAUUCGAAGAUCCAAUAACUGUCUGUUGUUCACUAUUUGCCUCUUCCGAAUUUGGAGUAUUCUGGACAAUACUUAAAUCUCGUAAUCUUCUUCUACGCAUUUUUCCUGCAAUACACAUAAAAUAGUUGAAAUUUUAGUAACAAAUUACAACAAUAAUAGUACAUAUAAAAUAGUUAAAUUAUAUAACAUGAGCAAGAUUAAAAUUAUAAUAUUAUGUACAAUUAAAAAAUCGUAAAAUCUUACUACAUCAUAAUUCAUAAAUAUCUUCAUCCACAUCUUGACGAACCCAUUGAAAUUGUGUACUAGUACUAGGGAUAUUUUCAUUUAAGUUUUGUUCUGGAAAAGGCAAAGUUCCUGAUCUUUCGACAAUGUCAUCUCUACUUCUAUUACCCAUGUCAAACAAGUCUCUAGAGGUGUUUCGGAGUACAACGUACCAACCCUCAUCAGUUGGAUCUUUCGAGUAAAAAACUUGUUUCCCUUGAGAAGGAAAUACAUACGGCUCGUCUAUCAAUUGUUCUCCAGUGUGAAUCAAUCAAGAGAAAUUCACCAUUGUAAAACCAAAUUGAUUGUUUUUAAUUCUGCGAGCAGUAUUAACAUCAGCCCAAUCACAUCGAAAUAAGACAAAUUUCCAUUUUCCAUAGUAAUCCAACUCAAUAAUAUCAUUACGAAGUCCAUAAUACUCCACAUUUCCCUCAACAGGAUUACUGCCCUUAGCACUAGCAUAACUUGUAAUUGAAGAAUUAACAACUAUUCCACAAUUUUGAGUUCUCCACAAUCUCUCGUGAUAUUUUGUAUGAAAUCUGAAUCCAUUGAUGAUGAAUGCACUAUAUCUUUUUACUACUCUAUUCAGGCAUUGGGAAAGCCAUUUAAUUUUGUCAUUAACGUCCUUCCCACUCCAAACCUAUUGAAUCGAAAGUAAAUUGAGUAAUUAUAAAUGUUAUGAGAAAACAUUAUUAUUGGUCAAUAAAAGGUUGAGUUGCAUACCGUUUGACUUAACUAUUCAUGAAAAGAUUCUGUGAAUAACUUAUUAAUCUCUCGUUGUUGUAAUCUUUGGGAGCGUGAACGAGAUAUCAAGAUUUGUUUGUACUCACUAUGUUAAAAAGAGGUUUAAUUGGUUAGAAAAUAAACAAAUAAAAAUGAUGAAUAUUUAUCAUAUUCUAGAACUUACUUGCGUAAUGGUUCAAUUGAAUCGUGGUGAAAAAAACAUAUCUAUGCGCUUGUAUCCAAGAUCUUUCAUCUAAUUCUGCAAUUUCAUCUUUACCGAUUGGUUCUCCAUAACUUUGAAAUAAAUAAGUUUCGUCAAAGUUGGGAUCAUUUAGCCCAGCAUUUCUACUUGGUCUAUUCAAUCUUGUUUCAACAUCUUCUAAAUAUCUAGAACAAAAGGUCAUACACUCCUCUGCCAAGUAGCCUUCAGCAAUUGAUCCUUCUGUAUAACGCUUAUUUCGACAAUAAGACUUUAAUUUGCUUAGGAACCUAAACACGAUAUACAACAUUAUCAAAAGUUAUAACUAAAUGUAUAGAGGUGAAUGAAUGAAUAAUUUACAAAUAAAUUAGCACCUUUCUAUAGAAUACAUCCAUCGAUAGAAAACUGGUCCUCCAUUUAUUGCUUCACGAGGGAGAUGGAUUACCAAGUGCACCAUAAUAGUGAAGAAAGAAGGUGGAAAGAUCUUCUCCAAAUUGCAUAAAGUCAAAGCGGCUCGAUCCUGUACUUUCUCAAGUUCUUCAACAUCUAAAACUUUGCCACAAAUAGCUUUCAUUAUAUUGGAAAGUUCAAUUAUACAGGACGUAACCUUUUUUGACAUACAGAACCGUAAAGCAAGUGGCAGUAAAUCUUGCAUCAAGAUAAAACUAUUAUUUAUGAGAAUUUUGAACUAAAACGUACCUUAAUAAUUUCAACAAACUGGUCUACUCCACUCUCACCAAGAAACAGAGGCUGGAGUCAGAAUAAUAGUACUUGUUAAGUAAUUUAAAGGGAAAAUGCAUAUAAAUAAGCAAAAAAGUAUGCAAUGAAACAUGUACCUGCCCAAGCAAUAGCUCAGCCAAAACACAGCCAGCAGACCAGAUGUCAAUGGCUGUGGUGUAUUCAGUUGCACCAAAUAUUAAUUCAGGUGCUCGAUAGUACCUAGAACAUAUGUAAGAUAUGUUUGGUUCCCUUUUUACCUGACAAGUUAAAAUCAAAAUUAGGCUCAUGAACAAUAAGGUAGUGACUGAAUAAGUGACUAGACAAAAAAAUUGAGAUUCUAUCAUACAUAAAAAAACUGGAGAUAACAGAAAAUUGGAUGGCAGUAAACUGGAGAAGCAGCAGAGGGCUAGUGACAAUUUCACACCACGAGGCGUGCAUGUCAAAGACAAAAGGUAUACAUAAAUUUUAGAGAAGAACAUGGUAAUAAAAUUUAAAACAAUUUAAAGCCAAUGAUGCUGAGUUGCUAACGGCACAGGAAAACAAGCAACAAAAAUUGGAGAAAGAAAGGAAGUAGAACUGACUUACCUUAGAGAAUGUGGAUUUCAACUAAGCAAACCGGAUGGUAGAAAACUGGAGAUUUUUGAAACAUUAGCCUGGAAAAUUUAAUUUAAAUGGUAAAAAUAUUGUUUACCUUGUAAUAAAAUAAAUAAAGUAGUUGUUCUAUAUAUAUUAGUGUUAAGCGUAUGAAAUAGGAAGAUUGAAGCAAAAACUGGUUAACAUGAUGGGGCAUUAACAGAAAGGCAAUAAAAAAUAAAAUAAAGAGGCCCUCAACCUUAUAUUAUUUGAUGCAGUCUAGUAUAGUUUCAGAUUAUAGAAAAUUAUGACAAAUGUUCCAUCAUUUAUGAGCCACUUAAGUUAUAUACUAAGGACAAAAUUUAAAAAUUGAAUAUACGUUAUCUCAUUCACCACUCUGAUUAUACUAAGGACAAAAUUCAGGAUUAUAAAGAUUUAUUAAUCACUUGUAAAAAUGAUGAAAAUCUAACAUAUAUAGGCUGUUCCAGACAGCCAUAAAUAAGAGACCUUAAACACUUGAUAUUAUGAUGGUAACUUCCCAUGCACAAGCUGUUUUGGACAGCAUUAAGAAGACAAUUCAUUACAUUUCAAUAUGCACAUUCUAUCAUCAAUUUGUCAAGACUUUGCACAGCAUUUAACAUGGUACAACACAAAACUUAUUAAGCUAAUUUCACCUUCAAUGUGUCUAAAUUUGGACAGCAUUUAACAUAGAAAUUCUCCAUGCAAAAACAUGUUUAAACUGUCCAAAAAUUGGACAGCAGAAAUGCAGCCAUUAUGCAUGCCGAAACACAUUCAAUCCAUUCAGACUUGGACAACAUAAAUGCAACAAGAAUUUAUAUUAGUUCAUAAAGCUAUGAAACACAAAAAAAAAAGAAAAAAAAUCUCAAAGACUCAAGUAUUUGGAUAGCAUUAAGAUGCUAAAAAAUGAACAACAUUAAUAUACAAAAUAUUAUAGCAUAAAUGGGAAAAUAACACCAAUUCAGACAUGAAACAAAUUAUUAUUUACUAAUGCUGUAUUACUUCAAAGAGCUAUAAAAAUUCACAAACUCUAAAUAAACAAUUAGAUGUCAAAGCAUGAAAAUGGAAUACGAAUUUGAGUUGCAAGUGCAAAUCCAAGAUGAUAACAAGUUCUAUUUGUGGAACAGUGAUGCAAAAAAUAAAGACAAUAAGAAGAAUUGGAAAAGUUGAUUAAUACAGUGCAAAAGAACAAAAUUAAGUAGUAAGGAUAAUCCAAUAUCAAAAGUCACACAAACCUCAAUAGCAUUAGAAAGUCCUGGAAUAGUUGAUAUGUCACCACCAAUGACUUUCAGAGUGAAAUCCAACUUUUUCUGCAAGCAAAAAAAAAAGCACAUUAACCUAACUAUAUCAACUUAUUAAAACAUUGUCAAACUAUUUAAUGUCAAAUUCUCUGACAAUAUUUAAAAACUAAGUAUUUGUGUUUUAAGUAUUUGUGUUUUCUUAUUCCCUCAACAAAUAUAAUACAGCUUUAACAAAUAUAUUUAACUCAAUAUAAUGCCCUGUUUCAUGACAGCCAUCCCUGUUUCAAUAAAUAAUUAACUCAAGGCAAAACAUGGUUGAAAUCAUACUGAUAUAUAUAAAAAUAAAGAUAAAAUACAUGGAAAUCAUGAGAUUAUAUCCAUUUACAAGUUAUAUAUAAUGAUAUAGAUAUGACAAUUUCAUGGUUUGUUUAACAAUAGAAAUGGUGAACUUUUAAACAGAAGGAGUACAAAACUAAUUUUUACAUUUGACUAAAAGUAAUAAAAUUAAACUAAGUUUAAAUAAUUAAAAACAUUAAAAACAUUAAAUCAUUAAAAACAUUAAUUUUCAAUUGAAUCAAACAAGACUUUAAUUCAUAUUCUUGAACUGAAAGAAAUGUUUGGCAAAGUCAUAUUAUUUUUGGAUGGAUUAGGGUUGGAUUUAGGUAUCAUAUCUUUUUAUAAUUGAAUUGACGAUGUUUAAAGAAUUUCAAAUUAUUAAAGUUUUAAAUAAAAUAAAAUUAAUUUUCUAUUAAUGGAGUUAUAUAUAUAAACUGAAUUUAAACAAAACAAAUCGAAUUUGGAUUAAUUAGACACUAGUAUAGUUUUAAUGAGCUAUUAGCAUUGAACAUAGGUAGAAAUGCAAGAUGUGGUGGUACAAGCACAAAGCCAAAUCUGCUAUUCAAACCAUAUGAUGCAGUCAACCAACAGCCAUAGGAGGUGGGAGGGGGGACAAAAGAGGUCUGCCCAAAGACAAUGUGUAAAAUUGGCUAUACUGCUAGAGUUUUUAAGUCUGUUUCUGAAACACCCAAUGAUGGCAAACCCCCCAUAAUAUUUGCUGUAAAAGAUGGAGAAGAGCUAAUACCAGGUGAUAGUUGGCGUUGAACAGAUAUACAAGAAUCGGAAGAGGUUUUAACUUCAUAACCCAAACAUCUCCAAAACCCUGAAAAGAGAGUGAAGCAUAGCAAUCUAAGAUUACCAAUGUUAGCAUGCUAAAGCCUAGGGUUCAAAACAAUAACUAAAUGAGAGUACCUCGAUCUGUUGGACUCCCAAAAGCUAGCCUUCAGUCGGGUUUGACUUCGAUAUGAAAUACCUUGAUCUUUCUGCUUGCUGCCAAAAUAAAAUAGAAGUGUUUCCUUCUAAAACUGAGGAGAGAAGAUUUCGGGGAAAUCCACUAUGGCAGAAAGUAAAGCAAAUUCGGGCCUCACAAAAACGACGUCGUUUAAGUUAAAAAUGAGUAAAACUUUGCGACGCUUUUGGAAAACGCCACUAAUACAAGCGUUCUACGGCGUUUCAUAAAACUACCACUAAUAAAAAGAAUAAAAACGACGAUGUUUCGCAACAAUCUCCUAAAAGAUAUUUGUGGCGUUUCCUUCAAAAACGCCGGUAAUUCCAACUUUUUGCGGCGUUUAAUAAAACGCGCCACUAAUAAAAAGGAUGAAAACAAUGACAUUUUUCUAUCUAUUCAAAGAUAUUUGUGGCGUUUACGAAUAAACGCUGGUAAUUCAUACUUUUUGUGGCAUUUUAAAGAAAGUGCCACUAAUAACAAAACUCAAAACGACGCCGUCUGCGAUCUCUUGACAGAUAUUUGUGGCGUUUUAUAGGAUGCGCCACUAAGAAAAUAAGUAAACGACGACGUUUCUAUUGACAGAACUUUGUGGUGUUUUUGUAAAAACACCGGUAAUUCAUACAUUUUUUGGCGUUUUUACUAAAAGCGCCAUUAAUAACAAAGUUUCAAACGAUGGCGUUUUGCAGUCGAUGGAUAUUUGUGGCGUUUUUGUAAAAAAUGUCGAUAAUUUUUAAUAUCAUUUAGUCUCUAUAUUUUUAUAAUAUUAUUAAUUAAUCAAAAUACUUAAUAUUAUUAACACUAAUUAAUCAAAACCCUAAACCUUAAAUCAUUAAACUAUAUCCCUAUAACCUUAAACUCUAAACUAUAUCCCCUAAACCCUAAACUAUAUCCCUUAAACCAUAAAUCACAAAACAAUAACACUAAUUAAUCAAUACUCUAAACCUUAAACCAUUAAACUAUAUCCCCUACUAAAGUACCCUAAACUAUAUCCCCUAAAACCUAAACCUCAAAAUAAUAACCCCUAAGCCUUAACCUUAAACUAUUAACCCAUAACCCCUAAACCCCUAACCAAUAACCCAUAACCCUUAAACCCCAACCCUUAAAACAUAAGCCAUAAACAUAAUCCCUAAACCCAUAAUCCAUAAACCUAUAAAUAGUAAAUCUUAAACCUUAAACCCUAAAUUAUAUACCCUAAACCAUAAAAUGGCCAAAUAAUGUAGUGUUUUAGUUUUUUUUAAAGCUAAAUUGAUGUUUAAUUAAUUCGUUAUAUUUAGGUUUUAACUUGGCCAAUAGAUUUUUUUUUUUAAAUUGAGUUUUAAGCGGUCUAAUUUCAAAAUUAUUUGGGUCUAGUCGAGAUUGAUUUCAAUAAAAUUUGCUUGUCUAAUAUAAUUACCAAAAUACUUUUAUAUCUAAUAUUAGUUUAAAAUAUAUGAUGAUAAAAUUCAUAUCAUUAUUUUCUGUAGCAUAAUGUUAUAAUUAUAAAAUGAUUAAUGAUAUCGUUAGAAAUAUAAUAAAAUUUUAAAAAUAUUUAUUGUAUUUUGAUUAAAAUAUACAAAAAAUUUAAAAUAUAUCAUAACGUACUUAUAAGUUAUUUAUGCUAUUUUGAUAAAAAAAUAUAUAUUUAAAAUUUAAAAUUUUGACAUCUUUGCGGCGUUUGUAACCCAAAACGCCACUAACAAGCAUAUAUAAAAAACGGUCCGUUUUUGCUCAAUCUUAAACAUAUUCGCUAAAACGCCGCUAAUGACUUAUAUUGCAGUGUUUUACAACAAACACCGCUAAUGCUACUAUAGCUCAACUACAAACGUCGUCGUUUUACUCAUCACAUUUGCGCCGUUUUCUCAAAAGCACCACUACUGCUCGACAUAUAGCGGCGUUUCCCUAAAAGCGCCGCUAAUGCUUGAUUAUUUGCGGCGUUUGUUACAUAAGCGCCGCUAAUAGUGAUCGUUUGCGGUAUUUUUUUCACAAGUGACGCUAUAGCUCUAACCUUUAGCGGCGUUUUUCUUUAGGCGCAACUAAUGUACAUCUGUUGCGGCAUUUUUUGUCCAAACGCGACUGGAAACGCCGCUAAAAGUCUAUUUUGCUGUAGUGAUACAAUUAUUUUAUACAAUCAAUCAAUACUAAACAUUUUUCAAUUAUGUUGUGAUAUGAAUAAAAUUAUAUGAAUUCACUUUUUUCAAUACCUUAAAAUUUUACAUUUUAUUCAAUUUAAUCAUUGAAUUCAAAAUAAUCAUAACUUCUAAUUAUGAGCCUCGGUUUAAAAUCUAAUUUCACAUAUAUUCAUUUGGGACCCUCAACUUUCUAUCCCUAUGAAAAUUUCAUAACAAUUUUUCAUUUUAUUCAAUUUGAUCCCUAAUGUACAAAACUAAUAAUUAAGCUUUAUAAUCUAGUCCUUUUCAUAAACUAAGCUUCAAAUCUAUCAAUUCCAAGCAUAAUUCUUCACAAAAUUAAUAACGAUAACUUUCUUACACUUUAAUAGUUUUACAAACUGAUACAUGGGUUAGUUAAAUCAAGCUCCCAUGACCUCAAAUUUAUAAAAAUUACAAGAAAAAUAACUUAAUUUUCCUUACCUAUUUAUGGUCGAAUGAUGAAACAUGAAAAUAGCUUCUUUUUUUUCCUUUAGGUUUUUCUUCUUUUGGAUAGUAAAGAAGAAGAGUGAAGGAGAUAAAACUUAUAUCUCCACUAAGUUAAGCUUAUAUAUCUUAAUUAUAAGUUAAUUAAUCUAACUUAACUUUAUUAAGUUUUAACCAUGUUAAUUUUGACGUUGAUAAAUUCAAGUGGAUUAUCAUAUUGCCAUCCACUAAAUUUUACUUAAGAAUGGUUUAAUUGCCAUUUUAGACCUUUAGCUAAUUGCAAUUUAAAUCCCUAAACCUUUGGCCAAUUAAAAACCUAUAAAGAUUAGGCUUUUACAAUUUAGUCUUGUACCUAAAUUAACUAUUUAAUUGGAAAAAUUGAUGGACCAAACAUUGAUAUGCUUUUAUAUUAACCUUGGAAAUAUUCAUAUUUAAUAUUUAUGGACUCAGUUUACAAAAAUUGGAUUCCAAAACUGCCUUUUCCAAUACCACUGAAAAUCAGGUUGUUACAUGAAUGAAUCAAAAUUAUUAAAAAUGGAGUAAAAUUGUUAAAAACUCUCAUGAUAAUAGGAAUGCAAUAUUACUUUAUAUUUCAUAAUCUUGGCAUUAUUAAGAACAUAAAAUUAUUAGCUCAAAAAUUGUGACACCCUAUACCGGACCAGAUUGUUGGUUACGAGCUAUAGUGUAUCACAUUCGUUGCCAGAGCAACUAAGAUCAAUUCACCAUUAAAGAGUACAAUUUGAACGAUAAAAUCAAACAAAUAUACAUUCCUUAAACAUACCAAUAUAAAUCUAAGUUUCAUUUAUGUAAACACCUAAUAACAUACAACAUAUUCAUCAUCAAUUAGGGUUGUAUAAAUAUUUCAAUUAAGGCACCAUCACAUAUCUCACACAUUUAUUAGACUAUAAGAAUUAUAAUUUACACUUUUAUACAUAUGCAUAUCAACCAUAUAUAUAUUACUACUAGAGUAUAAAAUAUAACAUUUGAUUAUUACGUCAUUCAACUACCACAAAACCUAACCUAUUAACUACAUGCCAAACAUAAGUAAUAUUGGAAACAAACAAACAUUGCUAAGACCGAGAUUGUAGAUUGAAUGUUGAGGUUAGUGUUUGAAAAUCUUGAAUUAAAUCUAACUUGUGCAUGAAUAAAAUAAAUCAUACACUAAGUAAAGCACUCAGUGGUAAUUUUAUAAUUUAAGUAUGUAAUAUUAGCAUUAAUAAUUCUACCCUGUAACAGCCCGUUUUUAGUCAAAUCAAAAUAGUAGUUUCGAAACCACAAAUCUAAAGUAAAAAUAUUUAUUUUAUUAUUAUUUUAAUGUUUACAUCAUGAUUGAGUGGUUUUGUGAAAAUUUCGUUAAGAAAUUUUAUCAUUUGAAUGCUUAAUUUUAUAAAAAGGACUAAAUCGUGUAAAAUAUAAAACUUGAGUUCUAAUAGCUAAAGGUGUCUAAUAGCUAUAGAACCUUAAAUUAAAGGUCCUUAAAUGGUAAUUAACCUAUUUGAGAUUUAAUGGAUGAUAGUUUCAUGGAAUUUGGUGUAAUUAAUAAAUAUCAUUAAGGUUAAAAUUGUAAUUAGCUUAUAAAGGUUAAUUAAAACAAAACAAAAUCAAAUUUUGUCCAUAUUUCUCUCAAAUUGCCAAAAAUUGAAGAUAGGAGAACCAUUUUAGGGUUAAAGCAUUCAACAACUUCAAGCUUAAAUUGGUGAGUGAUUUUAACUCGAUUUUUAGUGAUUUCUAUGUUUUUGUGAUCAUUGCAUUUAGUACUAGCUAGCCCAGGGGCUAUUUUGCAAAACUGUUAAAGAUUUUGAAACUUUCCAUUUAUGAAUAUGUAUGAUUUUUUAUGUUUUAUGAUAAAUUAUGAAUACUUAUUAUGAAAUAUACAAGUUUUGUUAAGUGAUUUUUAGUGAAAAUGCAAAAUAAGGAUUAAAUUGUGAAAUGCGUAAAGUUUGUGGUUAAAAUGUGAAAUAAAUAAAAAAUAUGAGCUGCUAGAGGCAUUAUGGUAAUUCGUCUAGCAUAGGUUUAUUGUGAAUUUCAUUAAUUUUUUAUUUUAUGAAAUAAGGACUAAAAUGUAAAAAAUGUAAAAUAUUAGGGGCAAAAGUGUAAAUGUGUUUUAAAGUGUGUUUUGGACUAAAUUGAAUAGAGAGAUAAUUAAAUAUGUUAAUUUUGAUUAUAUAUAGAUCAAGAAAAGAGGAAAUCAGACUUAGAUUAGGGAAAAAGCAAAGUAAUUGAAUAGUCGGUCCAUUCUGUCAUUUCCGUAUACGAGGUAAAUUCGUAUAAUUGAACUUAAAUGUGUAUUUAUUAAAUUGAUGGAUGGUUUUGAGAUUGUAUUUAUCUUAUUAGUUAAAUUUGUAGAACUUAAAUUAAAUGUACGGUUUAGAUAAGACAAGUUGCUGAAUAAGACCAUAGCUGGGCUAUGGCAAAUCGGAAAAUAAGACCAUAACCGGGUUAUGGCAUGUGAAUGUAAGAUCACGGCAGGGCCAUGGAAAUAUAUGUGUAAGAUCAUAGUUGGACUAUGGCAUCGAAAAAUUGAUGUACUCAUAUCGUAAACAAUUAUAAGCUUGGAGUGAUUUGGUAGGAGAAUUGGUGAGAAAUAGAUACAUAUCGAAAUAGGUAUGUACGGAAAUUUAUUCAAGUAACAAGAUAAAAGAAGUUGAAAAAUUAUGAGUUAAUAUGUGAUUAAACUUUAUGUUAAUUCAUUGUUUGAUGCUAUAAACUUAUGUUAUCUAUUUUGAAAUGCUAAUGAAUGAUGAGUUUAGUUCUUAUUUAUAUACAAACUUACUAAGCUAUAUAGCUUACUUUGUUUACUUUUCUAUGUUUUAUAGUAUUUCGAAGCUAGCUCAGAUUCGGGAAUCAUCAGGGACUUCAUCGCAUUAUCGAACAUCUAUUUUGGUACUUUUGAAGUUUGUAUAUAUGGUAUAUGGCAUGUAUAGGCUUUGGUCAUUUUGGUAUGUUUGAUGAAAAUGUAUUUUGGCCAUUUGAGUUGGCUUGUGAUGAUGAAUUUUGCUGAUGUUUAUAAAUGUGCAAAUGGUUCUAUUUUGAGUUUGGUAAUUAACUUAUAUUGUAUGAUUGAGGUUGAAAUUAUAAUGCUUAAUGAUAUUAGGUAAUUUGAUUGCUAAAAGGGUUGAUAAUUUGGAAAGCUAUGUACUUGUGAAUUGAUGAAUGAUAAUGCAUGUUUGGAAUGGUUUAGUUAAUUGAAUUGUAUAUGUGAAUUAGGUAUGUAAAUAAAUGGCAAAUGGUGGCUUAUUUGUGAUUUGUAUUGACGAUAAUGAAAUGGUAUGAAUUGAAUAUUGGUUGAUGAUAUUUGGUUGCUAUUUGUGUCUCGAAAUGGAACUAUAUGAGCUUGUAUAGGUAUGUGCAAAUUGGGUGGCAAAAUGGCUUGGUAAAUAGCCUAUUUUUGUCCACACGGUCAGAGAUACGGGCGUGUAUCUCAGCCAUGUGUGACACACAGUAAUGUUACACGGCCGUGUGUCCCCUGGUGUUGAAUUUGAAACCAAGUCAGUAUGUUCCACACGGCCUCACACACGAGCGUGUGACUUGGCCGUGUGGCAUAACUCAGUAUACCUUACAAGAUUGGCACAACCUAGCACACAGCCUCGUAAACCAGCAUGUAUGGCCAUUUUUAGGGCACACAGGGUAGCCACGAGGGCAUGUGUGUUGGCCGUGUGACCUAAGUCAGAGAGUUACACGGGGUCGGACACGGGUUGGGACACGACUAUGUGCUUCCAUUUCAAAUGUCCACACGGCCUGUGACACGGACGUGUCUGGUGGCCAUGUGAGACACACGGCAUGGCCACACAAGCGUGUGUCCCUGUUUUAAGAAAAAAUUUCAAAGUUUCAUGAAAGUUUCUUGAGUUACCAAUUUAGUCCCAAACCACUCCUAAAGCAUGUUUUGGGCCUCGUAGGCUUGUAUAAAAGACAAAUUUAUUGAGAAUGAAUGAUGAUUGUAUGUAUUGAUUGAAUGUAUAGGACGGUAUAUUUAAAUGUAUUGUAAGUUCAGUAAUGCUCCGUAACCCUAUUCCGAUAUUGAAUACGGGUGAGGGGUGUUACAUACCCUAAGUAAAUAAGUAUAUUUAUAUGCACUUGUCUACCAUACACUUGUAACUCGAAGUUACCAAGCUUUACAUUUCAAUAUAAACAUGUUAUGUGUACAGAGCUGACAUCAACUCAUCCCUCUUUAAUGGAAUUUAUAAAGACAUUUAAUCAUACUUAUAAUAAUAACAUUUUAACAAAUUGUCGAUAUCAAACAUGUCCUUAUCAGACCUAUUUCCAAUUUUCCGCUUCUAAUAUCACCUAAAUCGUUCGUUUCAAUUAAUAUACAAUCAAUUUCAAGUUUAAUAUGAGUUUACAGAAGGUCAAUACUAUAAACUAGUUAGCUAUUGCAUCUCAUACAACAAUUUUGUGCAAUAUAAUUAAUUUAUCAAGGUUGCUAGCAUUUUAGCAUAACAGAUCAAGAUUGAACCAUUUUUCAAUUCAUGUCUCAUUAGCCAUAUUCAAAUACCAACCUAUUCAACAUGUAACUUACAAUUGUUGCAUUCCUAAUUUAAACUCAUACUAUCUAUGACACAUAUAUUCACCUUUCCAAAGGCAAGCAUAAAUAAUUUGCAUCCUAAAUCACUUGAUUUAUAUUUAAGUCAAUCAGUCUCAUAAUGUAACACCUUUCGCCUGGUCUGAUCGUUGGACCCGAACUAUAAGAUGUUACCAUAGUUUUUGGAGCAAGCCACAUAAUUUGAUAGCCAUUAUUUCAUUUCAUCAUCGAUUCAUGACAUAAUUCCAUGCAUAAAAUAAUGUAUACUCAAAACUGAGUCUUAGUGGAGCUUAUGAAAGCUCAAAAGUUGACUCCACUAUAGUCUCAAAGUUUUAACCAAAUCAGGAAAUUUUUCUUCCACCUUUUCAUAAAUAUCAGGUGAGAAAUUUAGUAACAUAUGCUUGUUAACAAACAAAAUUAUUGGUAGGAUGAAGUAUUUGAAAUCUUGUGUGUAAUAUCCACAAGUAUACUUGGUUCCAUGGAAGAAAAGAAGUGACAAAUUGGACUAUCAUCAUCAAAUCUGUGUGAGGAAUGAAUUGGUUAAGACACAUCACAGGAUACCAUAUCUCUUUAUUUGCUUUACACUCAUAUCUUAAUUUCUUUAUUGUUAACAACGCUUCAAUUUUUGAGUUUUUCACUAUCCAAAUUUUAUUAUUUGCAAUUACGAUAUCAUUAUUUGUGUAUGGCCAAGUUGGCUAAGGUCCCUCAAAUUUCUGAAAGAAUAAUUCUCUUGAAUCUUUUUGAAAAACCAUAAAUUUACUGAGUUUUGGGUUAUCAAAAUCACCAUUUUACAUAUAAGUUUAUCAAGAUUUAAUUAUAUGGGUUUAAAUAUAAUUACAUGUGUUUGAGGAUCAAAUUGAUAGAAGUUAUAAAUGUGGAGGGUUAAUUUUAUUGAAAUAUUUAAAUAUAAAGGACUAAAUGUAUUAUUAUGUCAGUUAGAAAAAUGUUACGUUAUUACUUCCAUUAAGCAUUUAACGAAGAGUGACCAAAAUAAAAAUGGUUUAAAACGUUAAUGACUAAAUUGAUAUGAAAGACCAAUCCAAAUACUUUUCAAAGUUUGAGAACUGGUAUUGAUACUUAUCAUAGGUACCGAUACCAUUUUCAAUUUUGAUGUUUCAAGAAUUUAGAUAAAAUACUCAAGUAUUGAUACUUUGCUUAAGGUACCGAUACCUCUGUUAGAAAGUAUCGAAACCUAAUUUAGUAGCAGUACCAUUUUGGCAUUAUGUUGUUUUGCAAAACUUAUCAAAAUCACUAGUAUCGAUACUUGAAACUUGGUAUUGAUACUUCUUUUACAAGUAUAGAUACUUAGUCUAGUACUGAUAUCAUUUUUAGGUUCGAUAUUUGAAAAAUUAAUAAAAAUUGGUAAGGCACCGAUACCUUUACCCAGAGUAUCGAUACUUUUCGCUAAAAUGUCAAAACUCUCUCAUUUUAGUUCAUUUUACAUGCUCAAACAAACCCAAAUUCAAAUGGUGCUUAUAGGCACACUUCAACCCUGCAUAAACCAACCCAAAACAUGCCUAAUCACCUCAAUUCAACAUUCCUUCAAUCAACCAAACCUACAUACAUUAAUAAUGCUUCUACACAUACUAUUUAAACAUGUAAAUUCUCAACCCAUUCACACUUGCAUAACCAUACAAUUUCAACAUUUAAACCAUGCUAAUUGACUUUUAAAAUGACAUUCAUGUCACACAUGUAUAACCUAACAUGUUACCAAAUUUUCACACACUUGUAUAUACCUAUUAACAACUAAGGAUCAAGUAUUAUCCAAAGCUCAAAUCAAGCUAACAUCCAAAAUAAUCCACAUACAUUAACAUAACAUACACAAACUAAUCAACUUCCAAAUUUGAGUCUUCAAACAUAACAAAAUAUAAAGGACUCUCUUAGGUACAUACUUUAUUAUAUACUAUCACAAUUCAUAUUCAGUUUCAUGUAUCGAUUAAAUCAUACAACUUUCUAAUCUUUUCAAUUUAGUCCUUGACUCGAUAUUCACUUCCACAUGUAGCAUUUUCAACUCAAUAUCUAUUAAUAACUUACCUUAAUGUUAUAUAAUGCAAUAUAUUAUGAAUAUGCUUUAUUAAAAUUAGUUUCGAAUUAUAGAAAUACAAAUCGAAAGCUCACGUCACUCUUCGUCGACUUUCACAUUCCUUUUCCCUUUUGAUGAUCCUACUUUGUUUUUAGCUAAGAAUAAUAAUUCAAUAAUUGUAUAAUAUCCAAAUCAUAUUCAAUUUCAAGAUCAUACAUAUUUUGCAAAUUAUUUGAUUUAAUCUUCUAUCUCGAUAAUCAAUCAAAUUCAUUCCAAUACUAUUCGAUCAAUCAUAAUCAAAUAUCAAUUCAUUAAAUAUCUCAAAUUGCAAUUUAUCAUAUUCAAUUUAUUAGUCAAUUUAUCAUUUCUUUAUGAUUUAGUCCAUAUCACACCUUUUUGUAUCAAAUUGUAAACAAUUCAAAUUAUAACCACAAAAAAAAUUUCAUAAUUCAAUAAUAUAUUGCAAAUACAUAUAACCAUACCAUAUGAACUUACUUGGCUAAAUCAUUAAACAAGUUGAAACUUUAAAGACUAUUCAACAAUUUUGUCAUUUUUCACGAUUAUUUUCGAUUUGGUCCAAUUUUUUAUCCAUACAAUAAUUUCAUUUAAUUUAUCAAUUCUACAAAUCUUAUGUCAUCCUAUUUUACGCAUGUAUUAGUUCAAUUUCAUCAUUCAAAUGCACCCUAAAGUUUUUCUUUUUAUUCAAUGUAGUCCCUAAAAUUAAAAUGGCCAUAACUUUCAAAUUUGAGUCUUGGUUUCAAAACUAAUCCCAAUUUCACCCCUUUACAAUCCUCUAGAACCUAUAAUUAAAGAAAUUUCAUACUAAUUUUUUAAAUAUUUACACCUUAGUCCCUAUGUUCAAAACUAAUAAUUUUCACUUUACAAAAUAGUCCUUUUUCAUAUCUAAGCUUCUAAUCUAACCAUUUAACACCAAAAACUUCAAGCAUUCAUCAAUGGAAACAUUUUAAAAAGCAAUAUCUGAUUUAGCUAAAAUGAGCUACCAUAAUCUCAAAAACAUAAAAAUUACAAGAAAAUGACUAGAUUAAGCUUACCAUGCAAUAGUCGAAUGUUAAAGACUCAAAAAUGGCUUCUCCCUUAUGUUUAUUUUGGUAUUUCGGUUGGAAGAAGAAAGAUGAAACAAAACAAUGGUUUUUGUUUCUUUAAUUUAUUAUUGCAUAUAUUAUAAUACUAUAUUUUAUAAAUUCUAACAUUAUUUUAUUAAUAUUACUACCCAACCGUCCAGUUCAACUAUGCAAUGGUCUAAUUGUCACUUUAGGCCUUUUGACUUAAUUGCUAUUUUAACCCUUUAGCAAUUUAAAAUCUAUAACGAUUAACUUAUAUCACUUUACAAUUUAGUCCUUGAAGCUUAAUUAACUAUCUAAUUAACAAGAUUAAUGAGCUAAACUUUAAUUAAACUUUAUACUAAUCUCGUAAAUAUUAAUAAUUAUCAAAAAUAGGGUUCCGACACCACAUUUUUCAAUAUCACUAACUUUAGGAUUAUUACACUUGUACCUUAAUUAACUAUUAAUUAAAAAAUUUACUAGACCAAAUUUUCAAUAUAUUUCAAUACUAGCCUUGUAAUUAUUAAAUAUUAAUAUUUAUGAACAGAAUUUAUAAAAAUACCAUUUCAAAGCUGUAAUUUCUGACACCACUAAAAACUGAAUCGUUACAAAAAUAACCUUUGAAAUCCAAAGGAAAAAUAUCAUUCCAAAAACUUAUAUUAUCCUAUAGAAUGUAUUUUACUUAAAUUUAACUUCUCUAAAUAAAUGCAAAUAGUAAAGCAAUGUAAAAAAAAUCAAAUAAAUGAAGUGUCAAUACUUUUAAUUUAACAAUGAAAAUAUGUUCUUAAUAUAGGUUCAAAUGUUAUGAUAGUCUCUGUACUUCUAUAGAAUAUGAGAUUUAAUUCAUGUGCUUUAAAAGAUAAAAAUCCUAUUCUAAUCAAUAUUAUCGUUGACAGUCUACGUCAAAAUUUGUAAAAUUAAUAUGUUUAUUUUUUUUUAUCAAUCAUAUGUUUUAUAUCACAUGAGGACAUCUUAACCAACAUGCCAAGUGAAUAAAUUUAGAUGAAAAGUACUUAUGAUUUGAAUGAUUGGAUUUGAGAUUUUUAAAUAAAUAAGUUAGAGGACUUAAUUUUUAAAAUUUAAAUAUAAGGACUAAAUCUCAAAUUUUGUCAAAGUAUAGAGAUUAACACAAUAUUUUAACCUUUAAUUCAUUAGCAAUUAAGAAAGAAACAAAAAAAUAAAAAAUAAAAAGAGGGAAAGUGUACUUCAUUCAAAAUGUAUAUCAUCAUUCUCUCAUGUCAUUUGUGAAAUUAAAAAUUGUCGUAACUAUCACUCAAGUUUGAUUAUUUCAAUCAUUUGCUUUAAAAAAAUGGUGCUUGUAAUAAUAAGCUUUGACAGUGAUGAACCAUGUUUAGGUUGACUCUCAUUCUAUUAUAAAUUAUGUGUCAACUUGUUACUUGAAAGGUUAAAUUCUAAGGAUAGUCCUUCUAUUUAUUACUUUAGUUCUUCUAUUUUUAUUUCUUCAAAAGUGGUUAGCUAGUUUGUAGUUUGCUGAAAUACAUUAUGAUAAUUUAGAUUGAAAACAGGGGUUGGUCACAACAUCAGUCACUAACAUUUACAUUCAUUGAUGCUAAUUUUUUUUUAUGUUUUUUUUUAUUAUAAAUAUACUUUGUACUUAUUGUAGGUUAAAAUCUCUAACAGUAAUCAUUAAUAAUAGUAAAUUUUUGUUUUUUCUAUCUUUAAUUUAUUAACACAUUUAGAAAUAUAAUUUUUUAUAAUUAAAGCAAAAAAAUUGUAGGGCCAAAUUGAUAAAAAAAAAUUAUAAAAGGUGAGGGGCUAAUUUUGUGAUAGUGCUUAAUUUUUUAACAGUGUAAACGAAAAAUAAUAAUAAAAUGACUGAAAAUGAACAAAUCAAAAAGUAAAGAGGUUAAUUUUGAGCAAAUAAAAGUAGAAAAAUUAAAUUUGAACAAAUCGAUAAGUAUAGGGACCAUUGGUAGGAAUUUCAUCUCUUUAAAAUUAUUUUAAUUUUUAGUGAUUGAUUCCUAUUAAAAUUAUUGAUAAAGUGAUUGAUUUUAAAUAAAAUUGUUGAUAUAAUUAAUUAUAAUUAAAGAAAUAAAUAAAAUACUUAACUUAUACUUCACAGGCCUUCCUUGUGCCUAUCAAAAUCUGUUGGUUUUUUAAUUUUACAAUAGUAGUCAAAUUACAGUUUUAGUCCUUAUACUAUGCUGACUAGAUUUUAACAUAAUUUUAUACCUCAAUUUUUAUAAUAUCAUUAAUUAAUUUAAAUAUUUUAUUAUAUUUAAUAUAUUUAUAUAAACUUUUUAAAAUUAUUAACACCAUCAAAAUUCUCUUUUAAAUUCAUAUCUAUUAUAAUAAUAUUUUUUUGUUAUAUCUUGUCAAUUGAGUUUUUUUUUAAAUUUAAAAAACAUUACAUUAACGUAUUUUAUAGAAGAAUUCUAACACGAUAAAAAUUAAAUCUAAAUCUUUUAAUUUAAAAAGUAAAAAAGAAAUUAAAUUAUUAAAUAAAAGUAGGAGGACUAAAUCAAAAUAUAUAAAAAUUAUAAGAAGUUAGAACACAUUUUAACAUUUAAUUGAUUUCCCAAAGUGAAGCGUGUGGGAAUUCCUUGAAAAGAAAAGCAAAAACUUAUGUUCUAAUUUAACGUUAAAAAAAAUAGAACAUCAAAGUCAAGACUAUUAAGUGAAGGAAAAGUAGAAGCUUCCACUUGUUAGAUUCGAGGAUCGUGCUUUGCUCAUUGCUGGGGCCUUACAAGAUUUCAUUUCAGUUCAGCCAUUUGUUUGACUGUGUUUCUUUCUUUCAGUUUUCUUUCUUUCUUUCUUUUUUCCUUUAAAUUUUCACAAUUAAAUAAAUAUCUGCACUUGUCAGUAGAACAGAGCAAACACUGGAAAAACAGCUGUUUCACUUCCAUUUCAUUGAUUUCCACGAGGCAAAGGAAAAUAUAUAUAUAUAUAUAUAUAAGAAAACUAACCAGAGAUCAGCUUAAGGCUUCAGCUUCCAUUUCUCCUUUUCUGGGUUUGCUUCAUCUUCAGCUUCAGCUUCAGCUUCUGCAAAAUAUAUUUAAUGGCUGAGUAUAUCUGUUUAUUUAGCAAGGUACCCUUUCAUUUACACUUUAUUUUCUUUCUUCUUCUUCUUUUUUUUUUUAAUCUUUGUUUUAUAAAAGGAAAUGGGGUUCUGACUUUUGUUCAAUGGCUCUGGAAUGUGUCGGUUAGUGCUAAAGCUCUAAACUUUUUGAAGAAAAUGUUUAAUUUUUCGUGCUAUUUAUUCAAACUAUUUUGUUUUCUUAAAUUAAAAUUUCAGCUUUAUAAUUUCUGGGUUUGAAGGAUAAUGCUUUAUUUCACCUCUUUGAUCUGUUUCUAGUGGUUCUCCAUUGUUUUAACUUUCUUCUCCUUUUCCAGGAUACACUCAUUAUAAAGCCUCCUAAGAAGUCUUCAUUGUUUCAAAGAACAAUAGCUUUAUGGUUUGCAAUGUUGUGUGGUUUUUAUCUCUAUGGAACUUGCUUAAAACAUGUCGGUACUUUCACUAUGCUCAAAUUUCAGAACAUCCAACUCAUUCAGAAGCCAUCUUUAGAAGCUCAAAUUCCUACAUUGCAUUAUCCAAAGCCUGAAAAUUUCAGUAGGUAAACAAGAAGGGUUUAAUUCUAUGGUUUUGUUUUUAUUUUGGAUUUAAUCAAAUUUGCCUUAAAGUUUUGGUGCUGAUGCUUUGGCAGGGGUGAAUGCGCUUUGAAUCCGGUACGGUUUUUCGCUAUAAUAUCGAUGCAAAGAUCUGGAAGUGGAUGGUUUGAGACUUUACUAAAUAGCCAUAUCAAUGUAAGCUCAAAUGGUGAGAUCUUUUCUGUAAUUGAUAGGAGGAACAAUGUAUCGAAUAUUUUACAGACUUUGGAGAGAGUUUACAAUUUAGAUUGGUUCACUAGUGCUUCCAAGAAUGAGUGCUCGGCCGCAGUUGGCUUAAAGUGGAUGCUGAAUCAGGUAAACAAUGUAGUCGGAUUUUCAGUUAUAAUAACGAAAUUUGCUGAUAAGAUUGUAGAUGAAACUUGGAACAAUGGCAGUAAUCAUGUGGUUUGGGCUUUAACUCUUUCUGUUCAUUUUAGCUGUUGAUGCUUGAUGCCAGCACCCCCCUAAAAAUGGAAAAUUAUUAUUUAGGCCCUUUAAAUUUUUUUAAAAUUUUAAAUUAGUAAAGGUAAAAUUGCACUUUGGCCCCUUAAAAUUAUAAAAAUUCGAUUUAAUCUUUUAAAAAUUAUAAAUAUAUAGACUAUAAAAAAUUAAAAUUUCAUUCGGGCUCCCUAAAAAAUUGUUCUAGUUUAGCCCCUGUUGAUGCCUAUUGGUCUAUUGAUCUUCAACCCAUGCAUUUUAGUUCUUUGGAAUUUGAUUCAGGCAGAUGAUGGUUCAUAGUUUUCAUUCAUUGUUUUAUUUAUAGCUUUCAAUGGGUGAUUUUAUGAAGUUAAAGUGAGAAAAGUGCUGCGUUUACUGUUCAUCAUGUAUGUUUUAUCUCUCUGGUUUAGCAAACAAAACCACAUUUGUUUCUAGAAGCAACCAUGUAAAGAACUCCGAAAGUGAGAUGGUUCCAAUCCAAUGUGAUGGAUGGAAAUUAUUUGGUCUUAUGAGCGGCUUGAUUGAUGCAUUUUUUUCUGCAGGGAUUGAUGGAGCACCAUCGAGAAAUAGUAGAAUACUUUAAUGAUCGGGGUAUUUCUGCCAUAUUUCUCUUCCGAAGAAAUUUGCUUCGAAGGAUGGUUUCUAUACUUGCGAAUUCAUAUGAUCGCAAAGCUAAGCUAUUAAAUGGAACCCACAAGUCUCAUGUUCAUUCGGAGCAAGAGGUCUCUCUUCCUUCCCUGCUAUUUAUGCUCUAUAUUGCAGACUCGUUUGGCUCGCCAUUUUCUUUUUCCACUUUUUCUUCUCGACAUUUGAACUUAUUGCUGGUCGGUGGUCACUUAAUGCAGGCUGCUGCGCUUUCGAGUUACAAGCCAAUUAUCAAUUCUACAUCACUAAUAAGUGAUCUGAAAGAAGUAGAGAUGAUCACUGCUAGGGCUUUAGAGAACUUCAAUAGCACCCGUCACAUGGUUUUGUACUAUGAGGAUCUUGUCACCAACCAAACGGUAAGGCCGGUGACUAAUUUUCACGAGUAUUUAUAGUAUUUCUCAACAGCAAAAUAAGCAUCUUCUCUUCUAAAUGAUUUGCACCCUUUACACGAUGCCAUUUUUUAAAUUUAUCUUUCUAGAUUUUUUUGGAGUGAUUUAAAACUCGAGAAGGUUUAAACAUAAUCAUUAAACUUUCAUGGAUUUGAACAAUGUGUAAUAGUUUUCAUUUGAAACUUAGCUCUAUAUUUCAUGGAGGCAUUCUUCUCUAACUGGUGGCUCUGCCUCAUGUCAUUGGUUCCCGUGUUUGUGCCAGAAACUAAAAGAUGUUCAAGAGUUUCUAGGCCUUCCACUGAUGGAAUUAACUAGUCGCCAGGUUAAAAUACACAAAGGUUCGUUAUGCGAUUUUGUGAGCAACUGGGAUGAUGUUAACAAGACACUAAACGGGACCGAAUACGAGAGGUUCCUCCAUGCCGACUAUGAAGAAUGUCACUAACAAAAAGAAUGGCGUGGUCGUCAGGUUUGGCUUAAUUUAUUACUGAAACUGACCAUAAUUCGCCCAGUUUGCAAUUUUGGCUGUCAUGAAGGCCGGCAACAAUCAGGUAAUCACUAUCGUGAAGCCCUCGACCAUUUCAUUUCUCUUGAUUUGUAUCUUAUAGAUCAUAGAUAGACAGUUUGUACAUUUGAGCUAAUGAAAAUUCGGAUGAACCAAUUCCUCAUCCUCAGUGGCUUUAUCCCUUUAUGUCCAUCAGGCCUUUUUUCCCCCACAAUAUGUGUAUUCAUGUCAUAAUUGUGUUACAUAUUUAUACAAGUUUUGAGGUUUUAUAAUCAUAUCGUGUUCAAGAUGCCCAAAUAAUUAUAAUCCUUGGUUCUUUAAGACAACGUUUUCAAGAAGCAUUGCUUCUUUUUUAAAAUGAAUGAAUCAUUAAAGAGGAAUGAAUAAUUCUCCGUAUAAAUGUGGACAAUGUUCUUGGUUGGACUUGUGCAUUAAAUUUUACUGAUAUUCAAAUCAAUCACAAGAAUCAGGCCAGAUUCCAAGUUGGGUCCACUCGUGGAAAGGUCUAUCCCAAGCCAGAAAUCUGAGGCUCAUUAAAGACUGAAACCCUUCUUUUUAAAUUCAGCCACAGAUAAGUUCCAAAUCAUAGGGGCCGCAGUGAAGUUGAAUUUUUAUAAUCCUAUUGAAAGCUGUAUUUAAAGUUGCGUUUGCCUUCAUUAGAGAAUUCAAUUCAAAGGAGUAACAUAUCUCUAACAAAGCACAAUAGUGAUGGGAUUGGAAUGUAAUGGAAUUGACCAAUGUCAUCAUCUUCCGAUGGGUCAACUUUCAACAAAAUAGUUGGGGGGGGGGGGGUUCAACUAAAUAUGAAUGCAAAGAGGAGUUUUUAGUAGAGUCACAAUAAAUAUAAGAAAGGACAAAAUGGAGAUGAUGCUUGGCUUUUAUACCUAGCUUGAAGGCUGCCUCAGGGGCUGUCUUUAGAUAGUUGGUGAAAGGGGAUUAGCUGAUACCUUUGUCCUUAGCCAACAAGACUGGCAAGGGCAAGGGCAAGGGCAAGGGCAAGGGCAAAUUUGCCGGCCUUGCAGUCAGUACCGUUUGGCACAUAUGUUGUGAGUUGAAAUAGAGCUAAAAGCUACUUUACCUUGGGAUGACUUGUUAAAAAUAUACAUUUGUUAGUGUUUGGGCUUCAUGGACCACAUAUUCUUUGGGCCUUUAGUUUUAUGUGGGUUGGUAUAACAAAAUUCCCCUAGGUCAUAAAGUAGCCUAGUAAAUACCUAUUUUGGAGGGCAUUGACUUGAGCUAUCAGGUUCCCUAUAAAAAGAAGUCAGCUUUGAGGGGCGUCGGAACUUGAACUCUAAAGUAAAGGUAAGGAGGAGCUUUUAGUUGAUUAACAAUAAAAAUAUCAAGAUGGAUAUGAUACCUAGGUUGAAGGUUGCCUUAGGGGUUGUCCUUAACCUGUAAGAGAAAAGGGAUUGGUUGAUCUCUUUGUAAUAAGGGUUAAUAAGGGUGUAUAAGGGCUAAUUUCUUUGGCAUUGUCGUUGGUGUUUCUCAGUACUGGUCUGUCACAUAUGUUGGAGCUUGAAAGGGAGCUAAAAUCUACCUUGUCUAGGGCCAACUUGUUACUAGUGGACUUUCGUUAGUGUUUUAGGCUUCAUGAGUCACGUAUUCGUUAGGCCUUUAGUCUUAUUUAUGUGGGCUAGUACAAGAAAGGAGAAAGAUAUAAAUACUUCACCCAUCACUCAAGCUAUUUUGAUAGGUUUUUGUAUUAUAGCUUAAAAGUCAACUUUAAGAAAGUGAGAAAUUCAACCUUUGGGCAUUCUACUUUGAAGCAAAAAAAAACUAAUAGCAUUUUUAAAACACUACAGGGACAAAUUUGUUUGAAAAGUUCCCAUUUUUUCACAUCACUUGACAAACUGACUUUUUUUAAUGUUGAAUCUUUCAAUGGUUUAGAAUAUUUAAAACACAACAAUGACUAUAUUUGUUUUCCCAUCACUAUAAAACACAAGUCGGCAUCUCUUAACGUUGAAUCUUACUACCAUUUACAAUUUUACUUGGUAUUUUUGAAGCCUAAUAACGCUAGAGUCAACUAGCAUAUGUUUUAGGAUGGGGCAACUUGGAUACCUUAGAGGAACCCCAGUCUAAAAAAAUGAGUGGUGAACGAAUAUAUUCUUAGCUGGGGUGGUGGGGCACACCAAAUAUUGACUACUGCUUCGUGGGAUUCAUCACCCGCCAUUGAAAUGGAACAUAAAGCUAAGGUUGGGAGAUGAAGUAUCUUAUUCAUAUACAUCUUAUUAUAACUUCAUUAUUCUACAUUUUUCAGCCUACAAUCAUAAAAGAGAAUUAAGAUUCAAUAAAAGCUUAGCUAUUUUAUUUGUUCAUCGUAUAUUCAGCUCUCAUGACUUCCUUCAAAUUUAAACUAAAGCUAGUUAAUAUUAUUUAGUUAUCGGAUUUAUCAACGUUUUAAAGUUUACAGAGAUAUAAUUAUAGCAAGGCAAAAACUGUAGCAAAAAGAAGUAAUAGGAUAGGAGGUUGGAAAAGGCAUUGUGUUGUGUGGAAAAAUACUGAAGACGGAAAGUUCAAGUGGCUCUCAUUUCCUUUGCCUUAUUUGGAAAGCUUUAAAGAUACGGUGAAGAAGAAAAGGACAGCUUCGAAAUUGACAAGCUCAGUCAGGACUCUUUUACUUUGUUCUCAACACUAUAAUUAAGCUUCUCGGAGGAGAUAAAGCUACCCAUCUAAAUGUGAUUUAUAAUUAGGUCUAAAUGGAUACUACAAAUAUUUUUUACAUAUAAUUUUAGAUAUUAAAAAAAAGAAAAGAAAAAAAGAUUCAUGUUUUGUGAUAGACAGGUUUCCGACUUAGGGUCCUAACCCGAAUAGAAGUUGACCAAGAGAUGGAACUAGAAUAGGAUCUAACCAUUACUCCAGAGAGAGAUUGGAGUUGGCAGAGUGGAGAGAAAACAGAUACUUGGCAUUGGGUGCCCAAAGUGGUGGAUAAAAAAGCUCAGUAGGACCCUCGUCUGAAGCAGCAUUAUUAUUACUUAUAUAAUUUUCCCUUUGGAAAUGGAAAUAUAUUCUCAAUUCUAAAAGGAUGAGGCAAAGCAAAAAACCAACUCAUGAUGCUAUAUAUAUAAAUGCUAAUUCUUGAGGAAGAGCAGUGCAGUGGGCAAGAAUUUACCGGCCAGGAAUCAGGAGCACAUGCGCACUGUCUUACCGGUUAUAUCAUCUAAACAUUUUGCUUACUAAUGUAAAAUCAUAUAGUUAUUUUUGCUGCAAUGUUUAUCCAGAUCUUUAAAUUUCUAUAUAUCGCAGAUUUUUAUUUUUCUAGAACAGAUAUAAUAAAUAAAUGUCAGCGGGAUUAUAAAUUGUAAAAAUCAAAGUAUAUGGUGUAUCCUAGUGUGAAGGCCAGGAGACAUGCAGCAACAAUUUCUACUAAAGGUGAACAAAAUUUAAUUUGAUUUAAAAAUUUUAAUAAAAAUUUAAAUUUUAAAUUAAAUAAUUUGAGUUAUUUGGAUCAACUCGAAUAAAAAAUUUAAAUUUUUGGUUUAACUAAAACACAAAUCACAGAAUUCGAGUUAUUCAAAAAUCUAAAUACGAAAAGGCAAAAUUACGUCGUUUUGAUAAAUGUUUACUUUUUCUAAAAUUAAAAUUCAAAACAAUUAAGUUAAAAGGAAAAACUAUGUCGUUUUGAUAAAUGUUUACCUAUUAAGUUACAAUUAUAUUGUUUAUUUAGUUAAAUAAUUUUAUACUUUGUCUACUAGUUAAAAAAUCGGUUCAUGUAAACAUAACAUUGAGUAUAAAUAAUAUAAUUCGUUAACUCAACUCAAAAAUUUUUGGCUUGAUUAGAUUCCAUUUCAUUUGAAAAAAAAAUCAAAUUGAGUUCGGUUGUUAAAAUAGGAUUCGUCAACUUGACUAACUCGAAAUUUUUUGACUCGAUUCGAUUAAUCAAAUUCUCACUCCUAAGCCCAACCCCCUACGAAAACAUUUAUUACCAUUUCAGAGUUUUUAAUGUAAAAGUACUAGAGAAGCCCCUAUACGUAGCGGGGUAUUGCAUUUCAAAACGGGAAAAUUAGUCCCUCCGUUUAAUUUUGUCUCUUUAAUGAUGACUUGAGAUGUUGCCUUAAAUGGUUAAUUACUAAUUUAGUCCCUAAACUAUAGUUAAAAUAUCAUUUUAAUUUUUUUUUAAAAUUCUUAAUAGUAAUUCUAAAAUAUUAAAAAUAAAUAUAAAUUAUUAAAAAUAUUAAAAAUUAUAUUAAAUCAAAAUCAAAUGGUAACAAGUGCCACUAAUCCACAUUUAAUAGAAAAUUUAAAGGAAUGGUUAACCAUAGGACUUGAUUGGCGCAAUACUAAUAGUUUAGAGACUCAAUUAGAAUAUUUUAAAAAUUAGGAAUUAAUUUAGAAUUUAAUUAUAAUUUAGGGAUGUAUGAUACAAUUAAUUCAAAAAAAUUGAAAAAAUAAUAUUAUAAUUUUCUUUUUGAAUAUCCAGGAUUACUUAUUUAGAUGAUAAAGUAGGCUAUUUAAAUUUGUUAUUUGUAUCUACUUUACUUUUUGCAGUUAAUAAAAUCGAAUGUCUCAAUUCACAUCCUAUAUUUGGUUGUAAAAUGAUAGCUAAAUAUUAACACCACGUAUAAUGCUUAUUACUAAUUUUUAACGCAUCAAUUUAUUUGGUUAGAUAGUUAAACUUUAGUAGUUUUAAAUUUGAAUUUCGGAUUUGAUUUCUCUCUUACUUAUAUUUGUACUUUUAUUUCAUUUAUUUAAAGCUUUACUUUUAUUUUUAACUACUAUUUUAACAUUUUAACUCUUCUGAUUAAAUGGUUAAUUACUAAUAAUUUUAUCCUUGAGUCCCAAGUUCGAUUCCUCUUCUAACCAUAUUUGUAUUUUUCAUUUUAUGUUUUAAGCUUCUUUUUAUUUUUAAUUAAUAUUUUUAAUUAAUAAAUAUAUUGUUUUCAAGUUCUUUUAUUUUUAAUUCAUUUUUUAAUUAACGACAGUUUUAUUUAUAAAAUCAAAUAAUUAUUGCCAAUUAUAUAAUAAAAUAUAUUUUUGACAAAUUUGAUAUUUAUCACUAUGUUAAAUAUAUAUUUUUUAAAAAAACAUCAAUUAAUUUUUUUAUAUAUUUUUCUUUAUAUAUAAUAUUUAUAUUAAAAUAUUUAUUUUCUCCACCUAUAUUGUGAGUAUGGUGGUUUCUAUUAUUACAAAAUCAAAUAAUUAUUUCAAAUAUCAUUAUUAUUUUUAUAUGUAAAAUAUUUAAAACAAUUAUUUCAAAUACACAUACAAAAAUAUAUAAUACUAAAAUUUACUACACUAAUGAUAUGAAUUGAAAAAUAAAAAUUACACAUUAAAAUUAUAUUUACUAAAAAUAAUGAUAUUUGACAAUAAUUAUUUGAUUUUAUAAAUAAAAGAGUUAUUAAUUAAAAAUAAAAAUAAAAAACUUGAAAACUAUAUAUUUAUUAAUUAAAAAAACUUGAAACAACAUGAAAAAAUAUAUAUAUAAAUGUGCUUGGAAGAGAAAUUGGAUCUAGAACUCAAGGAUAAAACCAUUAUUAUUUAACCAUCUAACUAAAAGAGUUAAUAUGUUAAAAAUAGCAAUUAAAAAUAAUAUUAAAGCUUGAAACAAAAUGAAAUAAAAAUACGAAUGUGAAUAGAAGAGAAGUCGAAACCCGAGACUUAAAACAAAACCACUAAUAUUUAACCAUCGAACCAAAGAGCUAAUGUGGUUAGUAGGACGCAUCUUUAAAAUUAAUUUAUUUUCUUAAAUAUUUCAAAAAUCAUCAACCCAAAACCCCAAAUAUUUUUUAGAAUCCACAUUUUUUUUAAUUUAGCCUCAAUAAUCUAAAAAAAACUUACCUAAAAAUUAGAUUUAAUUUUUAAAAUCUAAUAAAAUAAAAGAUAAAAAAAUUUUGAAAGAUAAAAUAACUUUAAAUUAUUAGAGUUUUCACAAAAUGUUAAAAUUUGUAAAAUAAAUUUGACUUACUAAAGAUAUUUACUAGAUUCUAAUAUUUAAUGGAUAAUAUCAUUUAAUUUGGAUUCAAAUACUAAUACUUAGAUUAAAUUGAGUAGAAAAAAAAAUCAAAUUUUAAAAUGGUUAUGCUUUCUCAAAUUUAAAUAAAUGAUUAGAAGAAGUGAAAGUGAACUUCUUUCCCAGGCAUUUGAACUAAAUUCGAAUUUUGAAAUCAUUAUUGUGUCGGGAGGGCUUUACCUGAAUAUCAUCCAAGCCUAAACAAGAUUAUACUCAUACGGUAACCAUUAAAAGGAUGAGGAUACGUGAUGACCUGAUAGUCAAAGGAAUUCAUUGUCUUAAGUGUAGCUUGUGUUUGAGUCACAUUGGUCGUUUGGGUUUUGCCCUAUUAUUGUUAUUCACCAAAAAAAGAAAAAUCAACAACUUAAUUUAGUGACAACAAAAUUAUGUUGAUGAGGUAUGAGAACUUGAAUUCAAUCCCAAACAAUUUCAUUCCCAUCCUUAUUAUAAAAAAAAAAAAGUCUAACCUUCAUACCAACUCCUAAAAUUAAACACACUUGUCAGAACUAGGUAAAAAGGGAAAAAGCUAAAAGGUUCCAAUUGAACAUGGAAAUUUACCUAUGAAAAGGAAUAUACAUACUAUAUAUAGCCAUUUGCUCUUAGGCCCUGUCAGUCUGUUACUACUAAGAUCAGGCAAAGUUUUAACUUGGCUAACCAAAAACUCUUCACCGCAAUGGCCAUUGAUGUUAAUAGAACAAAAGGAACAUGGUCGAAAAAGCUUGGAAAAAUGACAUUUUACCAAUCAACCGAACUUUUCAGACAGACUUGUCAAUUUACCACUGGAAAAUCAGAGAUUCAUCAUUCCAUAUCUAUGAUGAUUGAUUGGGCAACGCAUGCAAGGAAAUAAAAAACUGUGUGGGGUUAUAUAGAAAGGAGUCAAGACUCUAUUGUCAGAGAGGUUUAAGGCAAUUUGCCUCUAGAUAAGGAGGCAAUGACUUAGACAACUGAAAGUGUUGCUUUUAAACCUUAGUCCCCAUGAUUUGCCAUCUCAUUAAUUCUACUUUUGAACCAACUUCUCUUUGGAAAACUCAAGGUUUACUAAAGAUGCGCAGAAUUACAAGCUCCAACACCGCCAAAGGCGUUGCUGCCAUUGUGGGCGUCGGCCCUCAACUUGGACUAUCUAUUGCCCGAAAGUUUGCUCAUGAAGGAUACACAGUCGCCAUCCUCGCCCGGGACUUAGGUACCCUCUUUCUCUCUCUUUCUUUCUCUCUUUUUUCUCUUUUUACACAAUUAAUCAAUACCGGAUUAUGUGUGUGUGUAUGUGUUGUUCAGGAAGGUUGUCAAGAUUUGCAGAUGAGAUAGCGAGGGAAGAGCAAGCGCAAGUGUUUGCAAUCAGAAUAGACUGCUCGGAUUAUAGAAGCGUUAGGGAAGCGUUUGAAGGGGUUCUUUCCUUAGGAUUUGUCGAAGUUUUGGUGUACAAUGUAUAUUACCAGCCGGUUUCUUCGCAUCCCACUACCUUCACCGACAUUAAAAUUGAUUCCUUUGAGAAAUCUCUUGCUGUUUCCUCCCUUGGUGCUUUCCUUUGCGCUCAACAGGUAACCCCACCCCUUUCUUUCCAUCCAACCAUAUAAAUAACCAAUCACCUUCUAAAAUUUUUAUAAUGUUGGACCGAAUCAAUGGAAGGUGCUUCCUGGGAUGGUGGAAAGGAGAAGAGGAACCGUUCUUUUUACUGGUCGCUCAGCUUCACUUAAUGGCAUCCCUGGUUUCUCUGAACUAUGUAAUGUUCACCCUUUAAAACAUAUUACAAACUUACCAAAACUUAAAAUGGAAAAUGAGAGUAUAUGACAGUUUAUUGUAAAUCAAUGAAACAGGCUGUGGAAAGUUCGCCCUGAGAGCUUUAUCCCAAUGCCUGUCAAGAGAGUUCCAGUCUGUUGGUGUCCAUGUUGCCCAUAUUAUCAUUGAUGGAGUCAUUGGUCCUCCCAGGUAAAUUCAUUGUUACUCCUUAAAAUAUAGUGUUUGAUAACUUCCAUUUUCCUAUUUAGCUGCCAAUUUGAAAAUUUAAACGAUUUAUGAAUGUGAAUAAUGUUAUACUUUUUAAAUAUCUAUUAUAUUAAAACUCAAUUAAUUUAUUUAUAAUAUAUGCAUUUCAUUUUUACAAUUUAGAUACUAAAUGAAAUUUAAAUCUACAUUUUCAAAUUCAUAUUUUCUAGACUUGAACAUAAAAUGUUUGCGUGACAAUGAGAUACGAUCUUUGAAACUUAUAUUUCAUAUUAAUAGGAGAAAUCAUAUAUGUUUUAAAAUGUUGAAAUGAUAAGUAGUGUGCAGUAAAUAUAAGAGGUGACGAUGGAAUUGCUGGAAAGAAAAUGAAUGAAUGAUGAACAAUAAAGUUGAAAUGGAAAUGCAGGGGGGCUCACCAAGGGUUGGCUGGGGAGCUAUGGCAAAGCGGAGUCGGAGGGGACCAAACCUUGAUGACAAUGGACCCUGAUGCGAUAGCUCAGACCUACUGGCACCUGCAUGUUCAAGACCGGAGCGGUUGGACCCAGGAGAUUGACCUCCGUUCCUCCGUAACCUGAUACUCUUACACCCAUUGAUCAUAUAUAUGAUAUAUAUGUAUCUUCUCAUAUUUGCAGCCUCUAAUCAUUUAAAACUCCUCCGUCUCAUUAUAAUCAUCUUCAAUAGCUUUCAUUUCUUUAUACACUAAAUAUGGUUUAAAGAUUUGCUAUGUAUAUUUACUCUCUUUUGUUUUUAAUUUUAUUUUGAGUUUGAGAAAAGUACAAAAUAUGUGAUGAAUUAUAAGUUUGAGUGUGUGAAUAGAGCUUGGUUAUUAAUUUUUUUUUGGGAAAGAAAUGUAACCCUUUAUUGAGAAAAAAACAAAAUCCAAACAGUAAGAAGAUAGAGGAUACGGAUAAAUAAACCCAAGCAAGUAGGUUUACCUCAUACACCUAAACCUAUCAUCCGCAAUUUCUAACCAUACUGACAUCUGGCAUAGAUGAAAUAUUUUCAUUAAAAGUCAUCUCAUUCUAUGUGGUUUACAUAUAAAUAUCAAAUAAAAGGCGAGACAAAGCAAAAAUAACAAGUAAACAAUCCAACUCAACAAUUACAUUGUCAAAGGCCAACUACUUUAAUCAUGACAAGACCACUCUGACGGCAAAAGCUUUAAUGAUGCAAGGAUUAAAACGAACAUAAAUAAAACUAAAAUUUAUUUUAAAUACACAGGUCAUACAUUUAAGGCAUUCAAAUUAUAUAUAAUCGUGUAAUAUUUUAAUAGAAAAGUUAACGAUAUUAACUAUUUGGGCUAAUUAAUAAUAUUAUAAAAAUAUGAAAAUUUAAAUUAAGUUAAAAAUUAAAAAUGAAAUUACAACAAUUAAUUCUCAAAUUUAAAUAUAAUAGAACAACUAAAAUCCAAUUUUAAUAUUUUUAAAUGAAAAAAAAAACAUCAUGGAAGAAGACUUUUAUAUAGAGUUAUAUAGAUAUAAAUUAGUAUUUCAUAUGAUGUUUUUGUUUUCAAACUUUUUUAUAUGAUGCAUUCCAAGGCCCGUCUUAUGACAUCUAGGUUGAAAGAGAUAAAUUGAACAAGUAUAGUUGCCCCCUAUUAGGAUAUGUUGGGACCGACCCGAUAAAGCAACUAGUAAAAAAAAUAGCGAAAUAAAUUGAGAAAUUGAAUACAUAAAUUUAACGUGGAAAAACCCCUCUAAAGAGGAUAAAAAACCACGGGCAAAAAAAAAUUUACUAUAAUUGUAAUAGCCUAAAUUUUCAGUGGUGUCGGAACAGUGAUUCGAGAUCACUAAAUCUGACAAAUGAGUAGAAAAUAUUAAUAAUUUAGUGAAUAUAAGUUAAAUGUGAAGUCAGGAAAAUUUUUUGAAAUAGCGAAUAGUGUACUAGAAAUAAAUAUUUAAAAAAAUUAGAAUCAGAAACGAGGUAUCGAGAGUUUAAAAUUUUUAAAACGAGCCAUAAAUAUUUUUAUAAAUAUUUAUGGAGUGUUAAUAAGUUAGUAUUAAAGUUUCGUCAAUAAAUUUUAAAGUUCCGAUAGUUAAUUGAAUAAAAAGGACUAAAUUGUAACAAAUGUAAAAUUAUGGAAAUGAUUAAAUAGCUUAAAUGAUAAAAGAAAGAGGGUUCAAAAGGAAAAUAGACCCAAGGUCUAUUUGGGCUGGACGGCAAGGGGCAUGAAAUCAGCAGGAAAAUUUAUGAAUUAAGGGUAAAAUUAGAAUAUUGCAAAAUUUACUUAAUAAAGCUAGGACUAAAGUGGAAUUAUCUAGAUUUCUCUUUAUUUUUCUGCAUUCUCAUCAGAAAAAAUACCAUAGAAGGGUCUUCUUAAGCUGGUUUUUCAUAUUUUUACCACAAGUAAGUUCAAUUCUUGAUUAUUUCUUGAAUUUUUCUUGAAUUUUUUGUGUUUUUAUGACUUUUACAACUAGGUCCACUUGUUGAAUUCAUUAGUUUUUGAUUCUAUGAAAGAAAUUGGAAGUUGCUAUGAAUAUGUGCUGGAAGUAUAUGAUGACUUAGCAUGGAAUUAGAGCUUUAAAUUGUUUAGAUGCUGAUUUUAUUGAAAGAAUUGAAUAGAAAGUGAAUGUUUGGGACCUAAUGGUGAAAGAGUUUGAAGUUAAGGUUUUAUGUGGAAAUUUUGAAUUUUAAUAGUUGUGAAAUAACUUAUAAUGUCUAGGUAAAGUAUUAAUUGAUAAAAAUCAGCUCAAUUGAGAGGUUAAUUGAGUAGGGACGGAAUUAUUAUUUAUUAAAAGCUUAGGGGAAAAAUGGUAAUAAACAGCUUGCACUAAAACAAUUUUGGACAGCAGCAGUAAACUAACUUUGAAAAAUCACCAUAAAUUUUAUAAAUCGAAUUAGAAGAUGAAAAAAAAAUGAAAUUAAAUCUUAUUGAGUCUAGUUUCUUAUAGAAGAAAUGGUGUAAGCAAUAGAUUUGUAAAUCACGAGAUAUAAUGAAUUUUGUGAGACAAGGUCAGAAUGAAUUUGGGUUCCCCUGUUCUGAAUUUGAAAAAUCAUAAAAAAUUGAAUAAAAAUAAUUAUGGGCUUAAAUUUAUAUGUUAGAAUCCUGAAUGAGUCUAUUUUCAAGAUAAAUAAAUGGGAACAUCAUAUGAAUUUCGUACGAUGAGAGAAUUAAUUUUUAGUGAAUAAAGGUCGGAACUGUCAGACAGCAGAAUAGGGGUGACUUUAAAGAAUAAACUAUACUUAGUGGCUAAACCAAAAAUUCUGAAAAUUUUACGAUAAGAAGAUAUGUGAGUCUAGUUUCAUAAAAAAUUAGCGGAUCCUAAUUUGAAGUUCUGUAGCUCAAGAUAAAAAUAAUUUAGUGACUAGAACAUGGACAGAUAACAUUGAAUAUACAUAGAUAAAUAGUGAAAUUGCAGAUAAUGUUACUUAUAAGCAUGUUAUAAACAUUAAGGAUGUGAAAUAGAAUGAAUGUGAAGUCAAUACUGAUAAGUGAAAAAUUUUAUAUUAUAGAUCAAGAAAUCGAGGAUAAACGAGGAAAAGAGAAAAUUCUGGAAUAGUUUCAGAAAUCUCUACAACUACUGUAAAUUGUUCAGGGUAAGUUCGUACGGUUAAAUUAUUAAAUUUAAAUAUUAUUUUAUGAAUGGUGAUUAAUAUUUAUGUAUAUUAAUUGUUGAAAAUAAGUAAAUUGCGUACAAAAGUUAUGAAAUUGAAUUGAGUAUUUCGGAGGAACGGAACGCAGGAAAUGAGUACGAUCUUUCAGUGAAAAAGAUGAAUUGACGGUAAAUUACCAAGUAAACCAAGAUUCGGCAUUUGUUGCGAAUUCUCGUGUUUGCUUUCUGUUUAGCUCUUACGAGCUUCCGUUAACUCAUAUGAGUUUUAGUUAACCCUUUUGGGGUUUCAGUUCAGCUCUGUGAGCUUCAGUUAUCCUUCGGGCUUCCGUUUAGCACUUAUGUGCUUCAGUUAGCUUUCGGGCUUUCGUUUAGCACUUAUGUGCUUCAGUUAGACUUCGAGCUUCAGAUCAUGAUGUACUCAAAUCCGUAAGUCGUUCCUUAAAUGGACAAGUUGGUAAGUCGUAAUUGUAACGUGUGAAAAAAGAAAUGUAAGUAAUGUUAUCAUUAUUUUUUAGCUCAAUUAAGUAAAUUAUUUUUUAAAAAGAGAGUAUGACUUACAGGAUGAAAGUAACUUACUUGAAAUGUCCAUAUGAUUUGAAUUUUGGAAACUAAUAUUUGGUAAGGAUUAUGGUUUAAGCCGACGAACUUACUAAGCUAUAGUUAGCUUACUUGUAAUGUUUAUUGCUCUUUGUAGAUUAACGGGAGGGUCAGAGGAUCGGAUCAUCACAUUCAAGUCACACUACCUCAACUUUCCGGUAGAUUUUGUUAUAAAUACUUUAAAUGGUUUAUAUGGCAUGUAUAUGAGCUUAUAUGACUGUUUUGUAUCAACUCAUGAAUAUAUUAGUUAAGUUAAUAUAAGUUGAUAUAUGAUAUGAAUGGAAAUUAAUUAAGAUGUUUAAAUACUACUUGAAAGUAUGAAUGGAUAUAAUGUUAGAUAAAAUAAGGAUUAGUGAUAUUGUUAUGAAACGAAUGUGAUUUGGAUGAAGAUUGUAUUUAUUGAGUUGUUGUGUUGAAUUGGUUGCAAAUUUGAAAUUGCAGGGAAGAUUAGAUGUUUCUAAAGGGGUUAUAUUGAAUUUUUUUUAAAAUAAUAAUAAUAAUAAUAAUUAUAUUACAAAAAAAUUUCGGAGUACUUGAAUAAGUCCCUAUUCAUUUAUAAUACGUGAUUUAGGCCUCGAGGGUUCAUAAAAGAGACUUAAUGAUUUAAUUUUAAUAUAUUUGUUGUUUAUUCAUGAAUUGUUUGUAAAUUAACCAAUAUGUUCGGUAAUGCCUCGUAACCCUAUUCCAGUAACGGUUUGGGAUUAAGGGGUGUUACAUUUAUUGGUAUCAGAGCUCGGUUUAGCCGAUUCUCGGUAUGGACGUGAUGUGUAAAAUGUUUAGAAAUACAUGCCAUAUAAAUCUGUGGUAGUGUGAUGUGUAUGAUCCGAUUUAACCCUUGUUUUUUUUUAGAUUGUAAAGAUGUCGGAUAGACCUGAACAUGCUGAACGAGAAGAAGCAAAUAGUAGAGUACAGACAUCUGAACAAGGGACAAGUAGUGAUGUUCUAAUUUCCUUGAUGCGAGAACAAAAACUUAGAAACAUGAUUAUUGGAGUAAUGAAUCAGUGGUAUAAUGAAAGGAUGCAGGAAAGGAAUCAGACCCAGCAACCUCCUCCCCCUACAGUACCACCAGUAGUGUCCUCGGUUGUUCCUCCACCUCCUCCUCCGGUAACUGAAUCAAGUAAGAGAACUCCGGUAGAAAAACUCAAAAAAUUUGGGGCUGAAGAAUUUCGGGCAGGUCAGAUGAUGAUCCAAUAAAAGCUGAGUAUUGGUUGCAGACCACGAUAAGAGUUUUUAAAGAAAUGGCUUGUUCUCCUGAUGACUAUUUAAGGUGUGCUGUUUCUUUGUUAAAAGAAGAAGCAUAUCACUGGUGGGAGAUAAUAGAAGCUGUGGUACCAGCCGAGAAACUUACUUGGGAAUUUUUCCAACCCGAGUUUAAGAAGAAAUAUGUUAGUAAAAAAUAUUUAGAAAAGAAAAAGAGAGAAUUUCUUGAUCUUCGACAGGGAAAUCGGACAGUAGCUGAGUACGAGAGAGAGUUUGUAUACCUUAGCAGAUAUGCUCGAGAGAUUGUUCCUACAGAAGAAGACAUGUGUGUUCGAUUUGAAGAAGGUCUGAAUGAUGAAAUCAGAAUGAUGAUAGGUGGUACAGAAAUUCGAGAAUUUAUGGUUUUAUCAGAUCGAGCUCAAAAGAUAGAAGAAGUGUACAACAGACAGAUACAACGGGAAAGAAGAAAUAAAGAAUCUUAUAAAAGAAGCUCCCUCAAAUCAUUUUUAGCAUUUUCGAUUAAAAAUUUUAAGGAGGAUUCCAUUCAAGCUACAUCGGUACCUGAACGAUUGAAGACUAGAGUAACUCAACCUGAUCAUGGAAUAUCAAUCAGAUCAGUUACUAGUGAAGCCAGUGUACAAAAUAUUCCCAAGUUUAAAUGUCAACACUGUGGAAAAUACCACUUGGGUGAAUGCAAAGGUAAAACAGGAGCUUACUACAAAUGUGGAGCCACUGAUCAUUUUAUCCUGAAUUGUCCUAUGUUACAAAAAGAUGAAGAAGAACAGAAGGAGAAACAGAUGGCUACUUCUCAGAGAAGUAAACAUGCUAGUCAAAGCAGUGCUGCAAGAGCUACUCGCUCGAGUGCAAAAGAUUCUGUUGCUCGGUCAGAGGUUAAAGCACCAGCACGUACAUACGCCAUCCGAGCUAGAGAAGAAGUCACCGCUCCAGACGUUAUUGCUGGUACUUUCUAUCUCUUUGAUGAUAUUUUAUAUGCAUUAAUUGACCCAGGUUCUACACAUUCUUAUAUUUGCACAGUAUUAGCAUUAGAAAAGAAAUUGUCUGUCGAAGCAACUGAAUAUGAUGUUCAAGUUACUAAUCCGUUAGGACAAAAGGUGAUAGUAAAUUUAGUGUGUCGAAAUUGUCCACUGAAAAUAAAAGGCUGUGAGUUCCCUGCUGAUUUAAUAUUGCUACCCUUUCGGGAAUUUGAUGUUAUAUUAGGAAUGGAUUGGUUGAUAAAAUAUGAUGCUGUGGUAAAUUGUCGUGAGAAGCGGAUCAGUUUGAAAUGUCAGACAGGUGAUAUACUUUCUGUUGAGCCUGAGAAUUCAAAUGAUGUUGUUAAAAUUAUUUCAGCUUUUUCGGCUCAGAGGUUGAUGCGGAAGGGUAAUGAGGUAUUUUUAGCUUACAUCCUUGAUACUCGAGGAUCUGAACCAAAACUAGAACAGUUUCCAGUUGUUAAUGAAUUUCCUGACGUAUUUCCUGAAGAAUUACCGGGUUUACCACCAGAUCGAGAAGUUAAAUUUAUAAUUGAUAUGGUACCGGGGACAGCUCCUAUAUCAGUGACACUAUACCAUAUGGCACCAGCUGAGUUAAAAGAGCUGAAGACACAGUUGCAGGAAUUACUAGACAAAAGGUUUAUUAGACCGAGUAUGUCACUUUGGGGUGCACCAGUUUUGUUCGUGAAAAAGAAAGACGGAUCUCUAAGACUGUGCAUAGACUACACUCAGCUAAACAGGGUUACAAUUAAAAAUAAAUAUCCUUUACCUUGCAUUGAUGAUUUGUUUGAUCAGUUGAAAGGUGCUGCCGUGUUUUCAAAGAUAGAUAUUCGAUCCGGAUAUUAUCAACUGAAAGUUAAAGAAUGUGAUGUGCCGAAAACUGCCUUCAGAACUUGGUAUGGUCAUUACGAGUUUUUGGUAAUGCCUUUUGGUUUAACUAAUGCCUCUCCUGCAUUUAUGGACUUAAUGAAUCAGAUUUUUCAGCCUUAUUUGGAUAGAUUUGUAGUUGUGUUUAUUGAUGAUAUACUGAUCUAUUCAAAGACAGAACCUGAGCAUGCUCAGCAUUUAAAGAUAGUGCUACAAACUUUGCGAGAAAAACAAUUAUAUGCAAAAUUCAGCAAAUGUGAAUUUUGGCUUCAUAAGGUUCGAUUUCUGGGUCACAUUGUUUUAGCCGAAGGGAUUCGAGUAGAUCCGAGUAAAGUAUCUGCAGUGGUAAAUUGGAAAACUCUAAGGAAUGUAACGGAAGUAUGAAGUUUUCUGGGUUUAGCUGGAUAUUAUCGCCAUUUUAUUAAAAAAAAUUUAAUGAUUGCUUCGCCUAUGACAUGAUUGCUACAGAAGAAUGUUGAGUUUGUGUGCUCUGACGAAUGCCAGCAAAGUUUUGAUCAGUUGAAGAAGAUGUUGACAACAGCUCCGGUGUUGACUCAACCAGAAUCAAGUGUGCCAUAUGUUGUAUACAGUGAUGCAUCUUUGGAUGGUUUAGGUUGUAUGCUGAUGCAGUCGGGAAAAGUGGUGGCCUAUGCUUCUCGGCAAUUAAAAUCACACGAGAAGAAUUAUCCUACGCAUGAUUUGGAGUUGCCUGCAAUUGUUUUUGCAUUGAAAAUUUGGAGACAUUAUUUAUAUGGUGAAAAAUGUUAUGUGUAUAAAGAUAAUAAAAGUUUGAAGAAUUUUAGGACAUAGAAGGAGUUGAAUUUGAGACAGAGAAGAUGGUUUAAGUUAUUAAAAGAUUAUGACCUUGUUAUUGAUUACCAUCCGGGAAAGGCAAAUAUAGUUGCUGACGCACUCAGUCGGAAAUCAUCUUUGCUUGCACUCCGGUCAAUGAAUGCCCAUUUGUCUGUUAGUGAAGAUGGAUCUAUAAUAGCGGAAUUGAAAGCCAAACCUAUGUUUCUCCAAUGAAUUCGAGAGUUGCAAGAUGAAGAUUCAAAGUUGGUAUUAAAGAAACAAAUAGCUCGAGACAAGCAGGAUUCAGAGUAUAACAUUGAUGAGAAUGGUAUGUUAUACUAUCGUAAAAGAAUUUGCAUUCCAAAUAAUUCAGACUUGAAAAAUUAUAUUCUUUCUGAAGCCCAUAGUAGUAGGUAUUCUAUUCACCCUGGAAAUACAAAAAUGUAUUGUGAUUUGAAACAGAUGUAUUGGUGGCCUGGUAUGAAAAGGGAAAUUUGUGAAUUUGUAGCAAAGUGUUUAAUAUGUCAACAGGUGAAAGCAGAACAUCAGGUACCAAUGGGUUUAUUACAACCUAUUAUGAUUCCAGAGUGGAAGUGGGAACAUGUUACUAUGGAUUUUGUAUCCGGGUUACUGUGACCCCUAAGAAGAAAGAUUCAAUCUGGGUAAUUGUCGAUAGAUUGAAAAAAUCAACACAUUUUAUUCCAGUCAGAACGGAUUUUCCACUGGAGAAGUUAUUAGAACUGUAUAUCUCUGAGAUUGUGAGGUUACAUGAACAUCCAUUAUUUCGGAUCGAGAUCUAAGGUUUACAUCGAGGUUUUGGAGCAAACUACAGGAAGCUUUAGGCACAAAGCUAAAUUUUAGUACCGCUUUUCAUCCUCAGACUGAUGGGCAAUCAGAGCGGGUAAUUCAGAUUUUGGAAGACAUGUUGAGAUAUUGUAUACUUGAGUUUGGUGGUAGUUGGGAAAAGUAUUUACCACUAGCCGAAUUUGCUUACAACAACAGUUAUCAAUCCAGCAUAAAGAUGGCGUCAUUUGAAGCUUUAUAUGGAAGAAAAUGUAAGACUCCAUUGCAUUGGUUAGAAUUGAGUGAAUCUAAGUUAGUGAGGGUUGAUUUAAUUCGGGAAACUAAAAAAAAGGUUCGGAUUAUCCAAGAUUGUUUGAAAGCUGCUUCGGAUCGUCAGAAAUCAUAUGCUGACUUGAAAAGAAGAGAAAUAGAGUUUAAUGUGGGUGAUCAAGUGUUCUUAAAGGUGUCACCGUGCAAAAAAGUAUUAUGAUUUGGCAGAAAAGGAAAACUAAGUCCAAGAUUUAUUGGACCAUACGAGAUUAUUGAAAUAGUCGGCCCUGUAGCAUAUCGGUUAGCUUUACCUCCAGAGCUUGAGAAGAUUCAUAAUGUGUUCCAUGUGUCUAUGCUGAGACGUUAUAGAUCAAACCUUUCACAUGUGAUUCCGCAUACAGAAAUUCAGUUUCCGUCAGAUAUGACUUAUUCAGAAGAACCUGUGAAGAUUUUGGCUCGGGAAAUUAAAUAAUUACGGAAUAAAAAGGUACCAUUAGUUAAAGUAUUGUGGCAUCGACAUGGUGUGGAGGAAGCAACCUGGGAAACAGAGGAAUCAAUGAAAUCACAAUAUCCGAACUUAUUUUCAGGUAACAAAUUUCGAGGACAAAAUUUCUUAAGAGGGGGAGAAUUGUAAUAGCCUAAAUUUUCAGUGGUGUCAGAACAGUGAUUCGACAUCACUAAAUCUGACAAAUGAGUAGAAAAUAUUAAUAAUUUAGUGAAUAUAAGUUAAAUGUGAAGUUAGGAAAAAAUUUUGAAAUAGCGAAUAGUGUAUUAGAAAUCAAUAUUUAAAAAAAUUAGAAUCGGAAACGAGGUAUCGAGAGUUUGAAAAUUUUAAAACGAGCCAUAAAUAUUUUUAUAAAUAUUUAUGGAGUGUUAAUAAGUUAGUAUUAAAGUUUCGUCAAGAAAUUUUAAAGUUCCGAUAGUUAAUUGAAUAAAAAGGACUAAAUUGUAACAAAUGUAAAAUUAUAGAAAUGAUUAAAUAGCUUAAAUGAUAAAAGAAAGAAGGUUUAAAAGGAAAUAGACUGAAGGUCUAUUUGGACUGGACGGCAAGGGGCAUGAAAUCAGCAGGAAAAUUUAUGAAUUAAGGGUAAAAUUAGAAUAUUGAAAAAUUUACUUAAUAAAGCUAGGACUAAAGUGGAAUUAUCUAGAUUUCUCUUUAGUUUUCUGCAUUCUCAUCAGCAAAAACACCAUAUAAGGGUUUUCUUAAGCUGGUUUUUCAUAUUUUUACCACAAGUAAGUUCAAUUCUUGAUUAUUUCUUGAAUUUUUUGUGUUUUUAUGACUUUUACCAUUAGGUCCACUUGUUGAAUUCAUUAGUUUUUGAUUCUAUGAAAGAAAUUGGAAGUUUCUAUGAAUAUGUUCUGGAAGUAUAUGAUGAUUUAGCAUGGAAUUAGAGCUUUAAAUUGUUUAUAUGCUGAUUUUAUUGAAAGAAUUGAAUAGAAAGUGAAUGUUUGGGACCUGAUGGUGAAAGACUUUGAAGUUAAGGUUUUAUGUGAAAAUUUUAAAUUUUAAUAGUUGUGAAAUAACUUAUAAUGUCUAGGUAAAGUAUUAAUUGAGAAAAAUCAGCUCAAUUGAGAGGUUAAUUGAGUAGGGACGAAAUUGUUAUUUAUUAAAAGCUUAGGGGAAAAAUGGUAAUAAAUAGCUUGCACUAAAACAAUUUUGGACAGCAGCAGUAGACUAACUUUAAAAAAUCACCAUAAAUUGUGUAAAUCGAAUUAGAAGAUGAAAAAAAAUGAAAUUAAAGCUUAUUAAGUCUAUUCUCUUAUAGAAGAAAUGGUGUAAGCAAUAGAUUUGUAAAUCAUGAGAUAUAAUGAAUUUUGUGAUACAAUGUCAGAAUGAAUUCGGGUUCCCCUAUUCUGACUUUGAAAAAUAAUAAAAAAUAAAAAUAAAAAUAAUUAGGGGCUUAAAUUUAUAUUUAUAGAAUCCUGAAUGAGUCUAUUUUUAAGAGAAUUAAAUGGGAACAUCAUAUGAAUUUCUUAUGAGGAGAUAAUUAAUUUUUAGUGAAGAAAGGUCGGAACUGUCAAACAGCAGAAUAGGGGUGACUUUAAAGAAUAAACUGUACUUAUUGGCUAAACUAAAAAUUCUGAAAAUUUUAUGAUAAUAAGAUAUUGAGUCUAGUUUCAGGAAAAAUUAGCGGAUCCUAAUUUGGAGUUCUGUAGUUCAAGAUAAAAAUAAUUUAGUGACUAUGACAUGGACAGACAGCAUUGAAUGUAUAUAGAUAAAUAGUGAAAUUGCAGAUAAUGUUACUUAUAAGCGGGUUAUAAACAUUAAGGAUGUGAAAUAGAAUGAAUGUGAAGUCAAUACUGAUAAGUGAAAAAUUUUAUAUUAUAGAUCAAGAAAUCGAGGAUAAACGAGGAAAAGAGAAAAUUCCGGAAUAGUUCCAGAAAUCUCUACAACUACUGCAAAUUGUUCUGGGUAAGUUCGUAUGGUUAAAUUAUUAAAUUUCAAUAUUAUUUUAUGAAUGGUGAUUAAUAUUUAUGUAUAUUAAUUGUUGAAAAUAAGUAAAUUGCGUACAAAAGUUAUGAAAUUGAACUGAGUAUUUCGGAGGAACGGAACGCAGGAAAUGAGUACGAUCUUUCAGUGAAAAAGAUGAAUUGACGGUAAAUUACCCACGUAAACCGAGAUUCAACAUUUGUUUCGAAUUCUCAUGUUUGCUUUCUGUUUAGCUCUUACGAGCUUCCGUUAAUUCAUAUGAGUUUCAGUUAACCCUUUUGGGGUUUCAGUUCAGCUCUGGUGAGCUUCAGUUAGCCUUCGGGCUUCCGUUUAGCACUUAUUUGCUUCAGUUAGCUUUCGAGCUUUCGUUAAGCACUUAUGUGCUUCAGUUAGACUUCGGGCUUCAGAUCACGAUGUACUCAAAUCCGUAACCCGUUCCUUAAAUAGACAAGUUGGUAAGUCGUAAUUGUAACGUGUGGAAAAAGAAAUGUAAGUAAUGUUAUCAUUAUUUUUGAGCUCAAUUAAGUAAAUUAUUUUUUAAAAUGAGAUUAUGACUUACAGGAUGAAAGUAACUUACUUGAAAUGUCCAUAUGAUUUGAAUUUUGGGAACUAAUAUUUGGUAAGGUUUAUGGUUUAAGCCGACGAACUUACUAAGCUAUAGUCAGCUUACUUGUAAUGUUUAUUGCUCUUUGUAGAUUAACGGGAGGGUGAGAGGAUCGGAUCAUCACAUUCAAGUUACACUAUCUCGACUUUCCGGUAGAUUUUGUUAUAAAUACUUUAAAUGGUUUAUAUGGCAUGUAUAGGAGCUUAUAUGACUAUGUUUUGUAUCAACUCAUGAAUAUAUUAGUUAAGUUAAUAUAAGUUGAUAUAUGAUAUGAAUGAAAAUUAAUUAAGAUGUUUAAAUACUACUUGAAAGUAUGAAUGGAUAUAAUGUUAGAUAAAAUAAGGAUUAGUGAUAUUGUUAUGAAACGAAUGCGAUUUGGAUGAAGAUUGUAUUUGUUGAGUUGUUGUUGUGUUGAAUUGGUUGCAAAUUUGAAAUUGCAGGGAAGGUUAGAUGUUUCUAGAGGGGUUAUAUUGAAUUUUUUUUAAAAAUAAUAAUAAUAAUAAUAAUUAUAUUUCGAAAAAUUUCCGGAGUACUUGAAUAAGUCCCUAUUCAUUUAUAAUACGUGAUUUAGGCCUCGGGGGUUCAUAAAAGAGACUUAAUGAUUUAAUUUUAAUAUAUUUGUUGUUUAUUCAUGAAUUGUUUAUAAAUUAACCAAUAUGUUCGGUAAUGCCUCGUAACCCUAUUCCGGCGAUGGUUUGGGAUUAGGGGGUGUUACAAUAAUGGAAAAAGAAUGAAGAGUACAAAAGACGGAGAUAAAAACUAAACCCCGAAAACCUAAAAACAAAGAACCCUCAAAACGUAAACACAAAAUUCUCUAAAUGUGUUAUGAGUUCUAAUCUCUAAUGGAUGUAUAUUCUAAGGUUGUAAAAGAGCCUAUUUAUAGGCUAAAUUCAUAGGUCAAAUAAUAAUGAAAUAAUCUAAACUAAUUAUUGUUUGAUUGAAACAAAUAAACGAAGUUUAACUAGAAGAUUAUUUCUCAAAUUUGACUAAAAUAGGAGUCAUACUUAACAAAUCUCCACAUUGACUCAUAUUUUCACAACGUCAUCUUUGCCAAAACCCACCACGAGCCUCUCUUGAACUAUGCAGGGAAGUAAUUGAGUCGAAUCUGUGCUUAGAAAUUGGAAGACUUCUAGCCAUCGACUUGUACACUGCCAAAUCAAAACUAACCCAGGUUUGAUUUUCACGAAUACAGUGUCCUAACUUUUCAAAACCUGCAUCCAAAAGAAAACCUCUCUUCAACAAAAUGGUCGUACCUUUUUCCCUCCUAUGACCAAGUUGCCUCCGUUCUAAACGAGUUGACUUCAACUUCGUAACGGACGAGGGACGUCCGAUUUCACCGGUCACUGUAGAACCUUUCAGAAUAUAAAGACUGCCGGUUGUUUUACCUUUUAACAAAACGAGAGCUCCAUGAGAUACUUUAAUGUCGCUCGACUCGAUGUUGAUUCUGCAUCCUUUCAAGUCUAAAAUACUUAAGGAGAUGAGAUUCUUUCGUAAAUCAGGUACAUACUUGGCAUCUGAGAGUGUCCUAAUCGUCCCAUUGUGUAUCCUAAUUUUAACAGUACCAAUACCAAUUUCCUUACUAGAUGAAUCGUUUCACAUGCGCACAACUCCACUUUCAACUGAACUGCAUGUAGAGAACCAUUCUCUAUUGGGACACAUGUGGAAAGAACAUCCGAAAUCUAGGAUCCACUCGGACGUGAGCUUGGAGUUAUCGCUCAUUGACACAACAAGAAAUCAUCACUGCUUUCAUCAACCAAAUUAACACCAGCUACAUCUUCCUCGUUACUCCCAGCAGCUAUUUUAUUUCGCAGUUUAUAAUAAUCUGCUUUGACGUGACCUAACUUUUUACAAUAGCGACACCUUUUGUCUUGUUUCUUUGAUGCUACCAAAAUGGAAGCUUGCUUAUCUGCCUUGCUAUCCAAACCAAACUCAUUGUCGAGUUUGUUUCUACUCAACAAAUGACCAUUCACAUCUUUGAACGAGAGUUUGUCUCUGCCAUAAAUCAGGGUUUCCUUGAAAGACUUGUAUGCAGGGGGUAAAGAGCACAAUAAUCGCAUAGCCUGAUCUUCAUCGUCAAUAUAAAUCUCAACGUUCUUUAAAUCAUUUAAAAGAGUAAUGAAUUGACUGAUGUGAUCUCUAAGAAGCUCACAUUUGUUCAUGCAAAACGUAAAUAGACGUUGUUUCAAUACUAAACGGUUAGCUAGAGACUUAGUCGCAUAAAGAGUUUCUAACCUUUUCCACAAGGCAAAUGAGGUUUUCUCCAUCAAUACCUCCUGCAAUACCGUAUUCGCGAAGCACAACUGGAUUGCAGACAAGGCCUUUUCAUCAAGCUCUUCCCUUUCUGUUUGAUUUAGAUUUUUAGGCUUUUUCCCGAUAACAACAUUUUUCAAGCGGUUUGAACUAGAAUUACCAUCAUCCGAACUUGCCACAUAUUGAAAUUUAUCUCACCAUCGAACUUAUCAAUUUCAAACCUUGUUGCUGCUAUAUCUGAAUGGGUUGAUCUAUGAAAAAUUGAACUAGCUCUGAUACCACUUGUUGGGAUCGACCUGAUUAAGCAAUAAGUAAAAAAAAUAGCGGAAUAAAUUGAGAAAUUGAAUAGAUAAAUUUAACGUGGAAAAAUCCCUCCAAAGAGGAUAAAAAACCAUGAGCAAAAAUAAUUUUACUAUAAUGGCAAAAAAAUAAAGAGUACAAAAGAUGGAGAUAAAAACUAAACCCCGAAAACCCGAAAACAAAGAACUCUCAAAACGUAAACACAAAAGUCUCUAAAUGUGUUAUGAGUUCUAACCUCUAAUGGGUGUAUAUUCUAAGGUUGUAAAAGAGCCUAUUUAUAGGCUAAAUUCAUAGGUCAAAUAAUAAUGAAAUAAUCUAAACUAAUCAAUGUUUGAUUGAAACAAAUAAACAGUGUUUAACUAGAAAAUUAUUUUUCAAAUUUGACUGAAGUAGGAGUCACACUUCAAAGGAUAUACUAUUAAAUCUAAAUUGGGGUUAUCCUCUAAAAACUACGGUAUAGCAGUUUAUAAAUGUUUACGUGGCAAACUUGAUUUUACCAAAGAUGAUAAGAAUGUGAACUCCCAACCACUUAUGUGCUAGAAAGACCAUUUUUUAUUUUAUGCCGAAAUAAUUUAUAGAGCACAUUUUAAAAUAGGUGAUGAAAUCAAAAAAUAUUACUUGAAUGUUACUGUAGAUACGUACAUCUGAAGAAAUAGUAAAAAAAGACCGUGUGUCAUAGAAUUAAGAGUUACUAUCAUAAUGCACAACUACUUAAUAGGUGGGUUUAGUACAAAUAUUAGCUUGGCUUAUUAUUUUUCAGAUAAUGGUCUAUUUAUUUACAUCGAUGGCAGUGAACACAUUUAUUAAUUGACAGAAAAAAUAUGAAAUGCACUUUCGUGUAUUAACUAAAGUUUUAUGUAUAUCUGGUGGAGAUUAUAUUCACAAUAAUAUUUAUCAUAUUUAAUGUUAUCAUAUAAGUCGAUAAGGGUUGUGGGAUGGAAUUAUUGGGAGAAUAAUCCAACUAGCAAAAUCAAAUAAAAAAACUGGAAAAAACCACAAAAAUCACGGGUGGACUAAAUAAAUUAACCACAAAACGUGUGACAUGUGAACGAAUUUUUUUUUGUUUUACAAUUAAACAGACGUUUACAACACAUAAUGAUAAUUUAAAACCUUCAACAGACUUCAUAAUAAGAAUAAGAAUAAGAAUAAGAAUAAUAAUAAGCUUCAACAAAGGUGAGCUCGGGGUUAUUACCAUGGUGUUCAACAAUGGACGAUGAUGGUCUUCAAUCUUCAUGCUUUUUCACACUAGAAUUCCUUAUAAAUACGGUGUUUGAUCCUCGGAUGCUUCUCAUAACUCACUUAAUCACGUAUUUUAACUUCAAUCUUUGGGUUGGGAUUAAAAAAAAUGGCUAGUCCUUUUGCGAAAAGGAAGAUGACAACGGUGCUGAGUAUUGAUGGAGGUGGCAUUCGAGGCAUUAUCCCAUCCACUCUUCUUGCUUUCCUUGAAACCAAGCUUCAGGUUCUUCAUGAAUCUAUACUUAAUUUUUUCACAAUAAAUCAUGUCUUCUAUACUCAUAUGUGGGGAAACACAAGCUAAAGUUUUGUUACAUGUGGUUGAGUUAUGUUUUGGUAGGAGUUGGAUGGACCAAAUGCAAGAAUUGCAGAUUAUUUCGACCUCAUUGCAGGCACAAGCACUGGUGGGUUGAUAGCCACCAUGCUUACUACUCCAAACCAACAGAACAGGCCUUCGUUCGCUGCAAAAGAUAUCAGCAAUUUCUAUUUAGAGCAUAGCCCCAAGAUUUUCCCCCAGCAUAGGUGAAUUCUAAUGGCAAUAUUGCUUCUCUUUUGUUACUAAUUUCUUCAUGCAGAAUCAAUUUUAACGUAUUUGUUUAUUCUUUAGUCGCUUUAAUUUCCUGGCAUCAAUGGGGAAUUCAAUCAAAGCAGCAUUCUUGGGUCCCAAAUAUGAUGGAAAGUACCCACGAUCAUUGACGAACCAAUUAUUACAAGACACUACACUCAAACAGUCACUCACAAAUGUGCUUAUCCCAGCUUUCGAUAUCAAGCUUCUUCAGCCAGUCAUCUUCUCAACCAAUAAUGUAGGUUUAGCUUAUUAUGGAGCUUUCCCAUUUCAGUUUAAACAAGAAUCCAACUUAUAUUCUUACAUUUUUCUUCUCGAGUUGUAAUUACAGGGAAAGUCGGAUGUUGCGAAGAAUGCAAGGUUAGCUGAUGUGUGCAUGAGCACCUCCGCUGCUCCCACUUAUCUUCCGGCACACUACUUUGAAACUAAAGAUGCUGACGGUAAAACCCGCACAUUUGAUCUCAUUGACGAUGGAGUUGCUGCAAAUAAUCCUGUCCGUACGAUUUCUUCAUUUCGGCUUGUUGGUUUAUGUUGGACACAUGCAUGACUGUCACAAUCUCAAAGAGAUGAAAUUUAAACAAAAAGUAUAUAAUAUAUUUGCAGAUAUUGCUAGCCAUUACCCAGAUUACGAAAGACAUGUGGAAGGAAAAGAGUGAGAUUGUGGGAAAUGAGGCGAUUGAUUGCAGGAGGAUGCUAGUGUUGUCACUGGGAGCAGGUGCAGCCAAGCAUGAAGAGAAAUACAAUGCAGCAGCGGCAUCCAAAUGGGGUAGGACCGACUGGCUGUACAACGGUGGCAAAACUCCGAUUAUUGAUGUGUUUUUGGACGCAAGCUCCGACAUGGUUGAUUUCCAUACCGCUACUCUCUUCCACUCUUUUCAAUCCGUAGUGUAAUUAUCUUCGUAUACAGGUACCAGGGUUCAUUGGCCAAGUAGCUUCUUUUUAAACGUUAUUUUUCAAACCUAAUAUCUUUAUGGAAACCCUCCAUCUCAAAUAUUGAACAGACUUGAGGGAGUACCACAAGUGGUUAUAUAAUAUUUCUACUCAUUUUGGUGACAAAACAGGACGACACAUUGACGGGGGAUGCAUCGUCGGUAGACAUUGCAACUGAGAAAAAUCUGAAAUAUCUUGUGCAAAUUGGGGCAAAGCUGUUAAAGAAACCAGUCUCAAGAGUGAAUUGGGAGACCGGCAAAUAUGAAGCUGUUGAAGGAGAGUCUUCCACCAAUGAAGAAGCUCUUGUUGAUUUUGCUAAGAAGCUUUCCCAAGAACGAAAGCUUAGGCUUGCUUCAUAAAUUUCGAACUUUUUUUUAAUGUAGUGUUUCCUCUUAUAAAGCUAUUCAAACCAUUUUCUUUUUAAUGGGAUGCACGGUUUUUAUUUAUUUUUAUUGUAAUUUUUUGGUUAAAUUAUUAUUUGGGGUUUGAACUUGACAAUAAAUUUUAUAUUGGGUUUAAAUUUUUUUUUUUAAAUUAAGCAUUGAACUUUAUAAGUAUUUUUAUAUUGGAGUUUGAACUAAGCAAUUAUUCUCAUAUUAGGCUUGAAUAUAUUUUUUUUGUUUAAGUUAUUAGUUCCUAAACUUGAUAAUUAUUUUCAUAUUAGGACAUGCACGAGGCAACCAUUUCCAUAUUGGAGCUUAAAUUUUAAGGGUUUCAAAGAAAUAUCAUAAAUUAACUUAGAUAAAAAAAAUUCAUGCCCCAAUAUAAAAAUAAUUGUCAAAUUUAUGAGCCCAAAUAUAGAGACAAUUGCCAAGUUCAUGACUUAACUUGGACCAAAAAAUAGUUCAAGUCCAAUGUAGUAGUUGUCAAAUUCAAACAAUUUAACCCUAAUUUUUUUAUUCAAUUAUUUAUGUAGUCAUAUAUUAAAAUUUUAAAAAAAAAAUUAGAAUUUUCGUCAUUUAAAAAAAUUAUAAAAAUAAUAAACCUUAAAGAAAAUUAAAAAUAAUAAAAAUAAAAUACAUAUAUUGAAAAAUACAUACCGUUUACAAUUUCUCGGACCAUUCUUGACUAGUAUUCUAUAUAACAGUUUUGAAAAAAAAAACCAUAAAUGUAUAACCUAACAAAUAAAUGAAGAAGCAUACAAAAUUUAGUGAAUAAUGAAAUAUGUUUCCAAAUCAAUUUUUUUUUAAUUAUUCAUCAUUAAAAUCUUAAAUCUCAUUUGUCGAAAAUUUAAAACUAGUUAAAAAAAAUACAUGCUAUACAUUAAGCCUACUUAUAUUUAAAACUCAUCAAUAGAUGCGAUUUUAGUUUUAAAUUUUUGAGGUUGUGUUUUAGCGGAUCUAAUUUAUUUCUUCAAACUUAUUUUUCGAAUCUAAUAUUUUUGUUAAAACCUAAUCAAAUUUCAAUUAAGUCUUUGGGAUUGCUUAUGUUUAUUAUUCAUGCUAUACAUUAAGCUUUUGACGAAGGUGUUGUCACAAAUCAAUUAAGCACCGAUUCAGUUAAAUAAUGAUUAAAAUACAAUUAUUUUAUAAAAUAAAUUAUAUUAUUUUGAAGGUAUUUUGUCCUUUUACAUUUCAUAAAAAAAAUAGAAGAAUGCACAUAAUAUGAUUUGAACUUAAAACUUUAAAAAACUUUAUAAUUUCAACUAAAGCCUCCUUUGUUUUUUAUAUCAAAUUUUAUAAAUAUAUUUGUUACAUAAUGUUUAGGAGUCUAAGGAGGGCCCUCUGUUAGUCAUCUGUUAGUCUGUUAGUCUAUUAUACUCAAGUUGUUAUACAGUUGCUGAAUUGUUAGCAACAAAUUACUCAUACAACACUUAUAAAUACUUGUAAUUGUACAGAUUCAAGAAAUAACAACAAUCAAUUCAAUUUCUCUAUUCAAUUUCUGAAUUACUUUUCAAUUUUACUAGAGAUAUUAACAUGGUAUUAGUUGCCUACCUUUUGGAGACCUGAUAUAUUGUGAUUUCAUGUCUACCACUGCUUCCGCCGACUCAACCACUGCUCCUCCUUGCUGCUCAAUGUUCACUAGCACUCAGUUGGUUCAGUCCUUUCCUUAUCACGAUACUGUUAAGCUAGAUGAAAAUAAUUUUGUGCAAUGGCAACAGCACAUACGUUUGAUUACAAAAGGAUAUAAUUUGACCCAUUUUUUAGAAGGCACAUUACCUGCUCCAUCAAGGUUCGUACAGUCACUGGAUGGAUUUUGGUGGCAAAUCCGGAAGCCUCGGCUUAUGUUUAACAGGAUAAGUUGCUUGCUUCUUGGCUUCUUUCUACUAUUAGCUCAUCUCUUUUGUCUAGUUUCAAAGAUGCGAAGUCGGCGUGUGACGUUUGGACCACCGCUACUCGUCUCUUUGCUGCUGUCUCCGGUGCGAAGCUCUCCCGAAUCCGUCAUGAUCUCCACUUGAUCAAGAAAGGUGCGAUGUCAAUCACGGAGUACAUCGCGAAGAUCUAGAACACAUGUGCCUUGAUAGAUGCAGCUGGAUCUCGGAUUUCAAAAACAGAGAAGGUAGAGAUCGUGUUUGCCGGGUUACCAUCGGAGUUUGACGCUGUACUCACUCUUGCGUCCUUUUCGUCCGAACCUCUGCCAUUGCAACGUUUGGUUGAUAUCUUGUUGGAGUUUGAGAGUAGGUAGAUUCGUGCGAUUCGGGAGGCACCGUUACAUACACAUCUGGUCGAGGCAACUCCGUCAACAAUGGUGGUCGAUUCCGCGCGUAGAGGCCGUUCGCUUGUUGGUUGUGGGAGAGGUUUUAGAUCUUGCAUUCCAUGCCAAAUAUGUGGUCAGUCUGGGCACUUGGCUCAACGGUGUUAUUACCAUUUCAACCGUGACUGUGGUGGUCCGGCGUCGGGGGCAAGGGUCUCAUCUUCGUCCAGUUUUGUCAAUCAAGGUUCUGGUGUGCUGUAUGCUGCUGUGCCCGCCCCGAUGUCAAUCUCCAGUGCUGGUCUCCCCUCGAUGGUGCCACAGUUGAAUUUUCCUAAUGGAUGGUGGGGUGGUUCUCUACCAGUUGCAGCUCUCUUAUUUUUGCAACAGACCAGGGUUUCUCAACAUUUUAUUUCACAUGAGGAUGGGGCUGGCUAUUCGUUUCGGCCAUCCGUUGGGCCUAGUGUAAUGUGUCAUCCGUUGAGCCUAGUCCUUUAAUUGGACUUUCUAAUCAAGCUGGGCCAUAUUCAGCAGGCACUAAUUUUGGGCACCAUUUCCACAAUAUUGGAUCGUCCACCACUUUAGCUCUCCAUGAGCCGAUUUCGAACUAUAUUCAAUUUGAGGGGUCUAUUGAUCAUGGUCUGGGUUUUCGGCCUAUAAGUGGCGAGGAGUUUGGGCCGAAUUAUGGGUCCCGCAUUCCAUGGAUGAGAAAACCACGUGCUUGUGUUUUUCCUACAUCGGCUCUGCCGUGUGUUGGGUUGCCCCAUGUUCCCAACUUUCACACAUCUAAUGUCUCAAAUUCCACUAGAUCUAAUAUUAGUUCAACUAAUUUUGGGUCUAAUUUUGAUGAUGAUUCAUAUAUUCCUAUGCUUGUAGGGAUGUCAUCUUGGUCUCCAAAUUUAGGGGCUACGCAUCACGUCUGUCCAGAGGCCUCUGCCUUAAAUGAGUUCACACCGUAUUCAGGUAUAUCUCUUCUCCUCAUGGGUGAUGGGACUCCCACAAAAAUUUUGAGUAUUGGUAAUUCUAUUUUGCCCACGAAGACUAAAUUGCUUUACUUGUCUAAUGUUCUAUAUGUGCCGACUAAUCUCCUGUCUUGUAACAGCCCGAUUUAGACCCUAUUCAGAAAAGUGGUUUCAGGACCACAAAUCUGACUCAGAAAAAUAUUUUAAUAUUAUUUUUGGUGUCUACAGCAUGUUAAUUUAUAUGUGUGAACUUUUCGUGAUUUAAUUUUAUCGUUUGAGUGUUCGAUUUAAUAAAAGGACUUAAUCGCGUAAAAUGUAAAAGUAACUUUCCAUAUGUUAAAGAGCUUAUUUGCUUUGAGGAAUUAAUUAUGGGGUCCUUAUGUGGCAAAUUGGAAAUUAACUAAUAGCAUGGCCGGUUUUGGGCUUGAAAUAUAUGGUUUACUAACUAAAUUUAUAAGGUUAAAAUGGUAAUUAAUAUAUUAAUAUGUAUUAAAUAAAAAAAAACAAAUGGCCAUGCAUGUGUUCAUCUUUCUUGGUCAAAUCUAUGAAGGAAAUAAAGAUUUGGAAGCUUGGAACAUUCGGCACCUUUGGGAGCUUAAUUCAGGUAUGUGUUUUGCUCGGUUUUUUAUGAUUUUUACGUUUUUGAGAUCGUUGCUUUGAAUACUAGCUAGCCCAUGCUUGCAUUUUUGAAUUUGAUGAUGUAUUCAUGAAUUGCCAUUGAUGAUAGGUUGUGGUUUUUGUUGUUUAGUGAUGGAAAAUAAAAAUAUGUUGUUAGAUUAAUAUGUUUAAUGAAGUAAUUUUUAGUAAAAAUGCCUAAUUAGGAUUAAAUUGUGAAUUUUGUAAAUUGAGGGGCCAAAAUGUGAAAUAAAUGAAAGAAAUGGGCCUUGAUGAAAUUCGGUCAAGCAUGGGUGUGAUGAAAUUUUGAAUAUUUUGUGUUUUGUGAAAUAGGGACUAAAUUGUGAAAAAUGUGAAAUGUCAAGGGCAAAAGUGUAAUUAACCCAUUUAUGUGUUUUUGGAUGAAUUUGAUUGAAUAUAUGAUUAAAUAAGUUGAAUUUAUAUUGAAUUAGAUUAAGAAAAGAGGAAAUCAUAAUUGGAUCAGGGGAAAUCUAAAGUUGUCGAAUAGUCGUCUCGGUUCAUUCGUCUUUGUCCGAGGCAAGUUCAUAAGUGAAUAAAUGAUGUUAAAUUGAAUGUAUUUAUUUUAUACAUAGCCAAUUAAAUUGUAUAAAUGUGUAACCACCUAGCCGAAUUAUAUUUAGCAUUGAAUGAUUUGUUAAGAGUAUGAAAAAAUGAUCGAGUUACGACGUUUGAAAGCCCUGUACAACCUUAGGAAUAUUUAGGAUACAUAUGUCAUGACAUAGGAUUCCGAUAUGUGAUUUUGUGUAAGACCAAGUUUGGGACGUUGGCUCGAUUUGUGAUUUACGUGUAAGACCAUGUCUGGGACAUCGACAUCGUAUAUGAGUUCAUGUAAGAUCCUGUCUGGGACAGUGGCAUCAAUAUGUGAUUACAUGUAAGACCACGUCUGAGACGUUAGUGUUGUACGAGCUUUUCGACUAUCCGAGUAUCCUUAUUAAUUUUGAAUGGUUUAACGGGCAAUAUCAAGUUAAGAUCGAAUGUGAAAUUGAGCUAAAAGGUUAAGGUACGUGCUAAGUUAGAUGAUUAUGAAAGUAAGGUAUAUACUUGAUAUGAAUACAUGAACCAUGCAUGAUAAAAAAAGAAAUUUAUAUAUAUGCUUAUGAGCAUGUUUGUAUUCGGUCAAGUUUAGUAUAAUAUGUUAUUGUUAUGUGAUGAUAUAUGAAUUUGCAAAUAUGAUAAAUGUAUAUGUGAUUAAGGUUUGUUUGAUUCGGCUUAGUUUAAUUGAAUUAUGUAUGUCAUUGAAAUGAUUUAUUUGCUUAUGACUUACUAAGCUAUUCAAGCUUACUAUGUUUGUUCGUUCAAUGUUUUAUAGAUUUUUGGAAGCUAAUUACGAGCUCGGGUAUCGUCAAGGAAAUUCAUCACAUUAUCGAUCGCUAUUUCGGUAUUUUAUAAGUUAAAACUUUGAACCUAUGGCAUAUAUAGGCUAGAUAACAUAUUUAAUCUUGGAGUAUGUAUAUAUAUUUAGCCAUGCGAAAAUGGCUUGAUCAUAAUGUUAAUAUCUAUGUGUAUUGUUUGUGACUUAAACUUAUUUUUGGAGGUAUGUUUCAUGGUUAAUAUGCUUGGAGUGAUUGGUUUAUGUUUCGGCAAAGGUGAUUAAAUCAUAUAGCUAAUUGUUUAGUUAUAUGUAAAUGUUGAAUUUGGUGGUAUUCACUAUGUGUGGACUAUGUCAUGCUAUUGGUAUUUGACUAUUAAAUAUGUUUUUUUUUUUAAUUGGUUUGUAAUGGUAAAAAUUUCAUUGAUGAAUUGAUUUGGAAAUAGUGAAUAAUUUGCACGUGAGUAUUCAACUAUGGUUUUAGGUUCAUGUUGAUGAGUAUGUAAUAUUGGUAUUUGGUAUGUAUAUAUAUAAUUAUGUGAUCUUGCCGUAUGCAUUGGUCAUUUUUUUUAUUGAGUUGAAAAGGAAAUUUUAGCUUAAUUUGAAGAGUAAGAACUCGUAUCAUUUUUGUGGUUAUAUUUGAUUGCCGAAUAGAUGAGAUGAGAUUUGAUUUUGUGUAUGUAUUCUAGGCAUGAUAAGUAGCAUGUGGUUUAGGUGAAAUUCAAAUUGUUAUAUGUGCUCAAAAUGUUUUGAAAUGAUAUGGUAAAUUUUGCUAUGGAAAUUAAGCCAUGUAAAUUGGAUGGUUUGGUUACAGGUGAGCAUGAAUAAAAGUAUGGAGUAAUAUGUAUGAUUUUAGUUCUAAAAUAAAGGUAACAUCAUAUGCUUGGAUGUAUUAAUGUAUGCGUAUAUAAUUUGUAAUGUAUAAGUUAUUAAGUUAGACAUGUUAGGUUCGGCAAUCGAGUUUAGAUUUGGUUAUUGAGACCAUGGUUAAAUGUGCAUAUGGCUAAUAUGUUUAAAAAAAUAAAACUUGACCAUCUUAUGAAGUUGUUUGUGCCGGUUAUAAUAUGAUCAAAAUCUUUGAUUUAUGAUUCAUUUGGUAUAAAAUGUGCAUGAAUGAUUUAUGAAGUAAAAUAAUUAUUUUUAUUAGCUGUUUGAAUAUUAUUAACAUGAUGAGCACAUGAUUUGAAUGAUGUAUUAUUAAAGCAAUUAUGAUAUGACUUUGGGACUUGUUUAUUGACUUGUAAUUAUGAUAUAUGUUUGAUAUGGGUUCAAUUGAACCUUGUGAUAUGAUUUGUAUACGAUGGUCGUGUAACUAACUAAAAAUUCAACUUAAGGCAAGCGCACCUAUUGAACAGUAGUAUAGUUAUGGUGAGACCGGAAAUAUCGUAUCCACGAGGACUAAAAGUACUAGUAAUUACUAUCUUUUUAUUAUCUAGCCUAAGAAUUAAAGUGUGUUUUUAAACUAAACUAAUUUUCUAAUUUAACUAAGAUUAUGACAGAGAUGAAAGUUGGAAAAUACUUUAGAAAAAACCAAUGGAGAAGACAAUACCCAAGAAAGAAUCCACCUAGACUUCACUUAUUACCUCUGACUUAGAUGAUUUAUUCACUUGAUUUAUUCCGUAGAAAUCUUUGAUUUAUGUUAUUAUCCCUUUCGAGACUAAAAACAACUGACUCUAGGUUGAUUAAUUGAAAUCUCUUUCUAAUUAAAACCUCUAUUGUCCCAUUAACUCGAUCUAUGGAUUCCCUUAUUAGAUUUAUGUCGUCCUAUCUCUAGGAGUGCAUUCAACUCCGCUUAAUUAUGGAUGAUCUACUCUUAAACAAGAACUUUUUCUCCACUGAUUAAGUACAUCAAAACCUGAAUUAAUACCCUAGAAUAUUAAAAUAAAAAUUUAGAACUCGCAAUUAAGAAUAAGAAUAAGUCUUUAUCAUAUAAUUCAAAUAGUAAUAAGAUUCAUCAUAGGGUUCAUCUCUCUUAGAUAUUUAAGGAGUUUAGUUCAUAAUAAUAAUGGAAGACAUCUCAAAGUUUGGAAAACAACAAAACAUAAAGAAAACCCAAAGAACUUCUAGGAAAUUAGGUGGAAAUCUUCAGUCUUGAUGUCGAUCUUGGCUCCGAGGUGAUUUCGAUGGCUAUUCGCGAGUAUUUUCUGCCUCCAACUCUAUGUGUCCCCCCUCAUCCUCCUAAGGUGUUUAUAUAGGCUUUAAAAUGCUUCAAAACUCUUAAAAGUGCCCUUUUUCAAAUAGAACUAGGCUUGGGCUCGACAGGGACAAGGUCGUGUGCCAUGCCCGUGUGAAGGUGCUCAGGCCGUGUGCAAUACUGAGUUGGUUUUUAGUCGACACGGCCUUGACACACAGGCGUGUAUUCUACCCGUGUGUCACACACGGGCGUGUGGAUUACCCGUGUGGAAGUGUCUAGGCCGUGUGCAACACUAAUUUAGGCCCAAUUUGUCCGUUUUUGGCCCGUUUCUUGCUCUUUUUGCUAUCCUAAGCUCUCCUGAGUAUAAAACAUGAAAUUAAAGGAUUAGGAGCAUCGAAUUCAAUAAAACCAAGGAAAAAUCAUCCAUAAAUAUGUCAAGCAUGGGGUAAAAAUAUGUAUAUCUUACGGUUUAUCAAAUAUCCUCACACUUAAGUAUUUGCUUGUCCUCAAGCAAAAUCCUCAACUCACAAUUAAAAUAAGUUCUUCUCAACUUAUAAUUCUUGCUAAUAAUGUUCGAAAUAAUCCACAAGUAAUCAUAUGUUAAGAGCUUAACUAUAAGAACAUUAAAUUUUCAAACAAUCUAAUACAAGCAUUUUAAUCAUAAAAUUAUAGGUAUCCCCCUUUAUCUAAGUAAUCACCUUUAAUUCCAAAUCGACAAGGUUGACAUCUUCACCAUUGAUUCACUCAAAUCACCAAAAGUGUUUAGGGUUUAAUAAUUAAGCACUCAAUAGUCAAACAUGGAAAGUUAUUACCAUAGGCUUGCAUGAAAAUCAAACCUCCACCACUAUAAUGAAAUGAUACACAAAUCAAAAGGUCUUUAACAGGGUUGUAAUGGGGCUUAGGUUAAAGGUGUGGAUAAAGGCUAAAAAAGAGGGUUAAAAUCGAGAUUAAUUUAACUAAAUUACCAAAUUUAGAAGAGUGAGGCUAAAUGCUGAAUUACAAGAGUGUGCUAGAAUUUGGACUAUCUAAAGCAAAAAAUGUGAGCUUCUUUUUCAUAACAUAACAACUUUAACUCAUCCAAGCUCUUUAGAACAAUAUGUAACUGUAUGAAUAUAAAUAUACGUAUUUUUUUUAAGAAUAAGAAUAAAUAAUGGAACAUACAUAAUAAGAAUUAAUUCAGCAACUGGAAUGAACGAAAAAGAAAUAGAUAACUAAUCAAAUUAAAUCUCAAUAAAAAAAGAAGUCAAUAAAAAGGGAAAAAUUCUUAAUGAAUCAAAAAGGGUUAAGUUAUGGGUUAAUAUUAAGGGAAGAAUUCAAGAAAUAAUAGUUAAGGCUCAAAGGGGUUCACUAGGGGUCAAUUAUGUGGGUAGGCUUUUUAUGGGGUAGAUGGGUUAAAACCUAGGUGUCUUUAUCAUUUUCGCAUAUCAAAUUAAAGGUGUGGUCUCGACAUGUAUAAUAAAUGCAAGUUCUAGAAUAACAAAUCAAUGUUGACACACUCAUAACCAAUAAAAUCAGUGAGCAAGAAAGAUAUAUGAUCUAAAAGGCUUAAAAUCUCACGAAAAUUAUGGGUAUUUGAUGUCAAUCCUGUAAAUUCAAAACUUCAAGAUAAUACCUCAAUUUAGGGAAACAACCUAGCAAUUUUAUUUCUCAAAAAUCAACUCAUCAUGCUUGAUUCCUUAAUUUCUUAAAGUUUAAACAAUUAAUGCACAAUUACCUAUGGUUUAAUUCAAAACAUAUCAAUAAAAAUCAUAGAUCAAUAAGAAUUUACUCUAAUAAUGAUAUGAGAAAAUUAUUUAAGAACAAGAUAAGAUAAAAAAUUCAGUGAUUUUCUAAUAAUCACAUAAAUAUCCUCCCCACACUUAAGGUGUGCAUUGUUCUCAAUGUACAGAGAUAGAUAAUAGCAAUAUAAGCAUAAGAUUAGAAGAGAGGGAGAGAAUAGAAACUGCCCUGAAUUUGAAUGUAAUCUUUGGAAGAGUGGAAAUAGGUUUAGAAGCAUUGAAAGUGAUGUGUAUGUGACAUGUAGAUAGAGGUGAAGGUGGUGGUAGAGGUUUGGUUCCACAAUCACAGUGCCUAGCGAAGAGGUUAUCGUGGUGGUCGAUGUCGUGGUGGCUAUGGUCGUGGUCGAGCAGGACAUAGUAGUCGUGGAUGAUUGUAUGUAUAUGCCUUAGUAGUACCCAUCGACUGAACCUUUUGAAACUACGAUAUUAUUGAUAAUAUUUAAGGGAUUUAUAUGUAUAUGGUUAUUAGGAUUAGCAAUAAUGAAAUAACUAUAUUUAAGGGAUUUAUAUGUAUAUGGUUAUUAGGAUUUAUAUGUAUAUGCCAUUGAUAAUAUUUGUAAGUAAUGGAUAAUGAAAGUGCAAAAGAAAUGCCAAAAUAAAAAUAAAAGAAAAAGAAAAGUAAUUUAAAAAUUAGAUGGACUUAAUAGUCCCCGUCGACAGCUGGAUCGUGAGGUGGUUGUGCUGGAGGCGAUAUGUGAAAAUGUUAGUAGAUUUUUUGUAGUGUCGCCUCGAUGCUGUCGAAUUGCUGAGCGCAAUACUGCUCAAAGCGAUGAAGGUGAUCAAAAACUUCAGAUAUUGAAGCAGUCGCAUGAACUGGUCGGUGACUCGGUGGUGGCUGUAAAGGUGGGUCCUCCUGAAAUACAGGGAUAUCAUCAGGAAUAUCCUCGGCGUCAUCCUCAUCGGUAGCUCGUGCAAUUCGAUACUGAGAAGGGUCGAACCCACGAUGAUGCUCAAUCAUUCACAUGUGGAGCAUACAUUGGAUGCUCUAUGGGGACAUCUGACCAAUGGGAGUGAGCGAUGAAGACUGCGCCACUGUAUUCAGGAGCCCGAAGUAGCGCGCUAGACGAGCUACAUAUAGGCCUAGGCUGAUGACUUCCUUCCGGUGUCGCUCGGUUUGAUGGCAAAAGGCAAGGGAAAUUAAGUUGGCAAGGUAAAAAUUGUACCCCUGCCUCAUGCUCCACAGGAAGUAUGCGUCGUGAGUGUUUACUAAACUAGUGCUCUCUCGUCUCCCUAUUAAGGUGUGUGCCAAAAGAGCAUGGAGAUAUCGCAAAGCUGGAGCUAGCGCCGAUGCCUUGGAACAGCUGGGGUCAUAGAUGCCUGUAGCAGGUAUCAUGGCAUUCUAACAGGAUAAAGGUGUAUAGUGGAUAUGGCGGUGGAGGUGAGGAAAGUUUUCGGCCUCUAUGAACUCGUUCGUAUAUAGUCCCAAAGCGACGCCAAAUUCUGGGACACUCAACUGUCGUACUAGACCGCCAAGUCGGAAUUGGACUGUUCUUGGGUCGUCAUGCUCCGCCAUAACUGUUUGCAUGUGAAAUGUCAAGCAUAAUUCCAAAGUGAACUCUAGGUACGUCGGUUUGACGAUGUCAAAGAAUCGGUCCCAUGGAGCGGUGGCUAAGAGGGCUCGAACCGAAUCAGCUAGAUGGACCUGCUCUAGUGCGUCCAAUCAAUGCAACGGCUCACACUUAGGGGUCGGGCCCGUAGUAUCUGGAGUAAUUCCUCUUGGGGUCCCGGUGGAAAUUAAAGGAAUGGGUGUCGUAUCUCAGCUGUAGGGCCAGAGGAAGAUGUCGCUCUUUUUCAUUUUUCGAGGCAGGAACCACAGUUUUCUUGCCUUUUGGGUUUGUCAUGAUAUUUACAAAGAUGAGUUUUAAUCAUCAAAAUAAUCCCCAAAUCAAGAAGUCAUCUUAAUAGUCCAAAAUACUAACUUCCUCGUAAGAUAAUUAUGAACGAAUAUUCAAGCAUUUCAAAACCAAAUGGUAAUACUGCAUAUGAAACAAAGAGCCAAAGAAAUAGAAACUAACUAAUGAAUCACUCAAUAUAAGUUAUUGCGAAUCUUAUUUAAAACAAAUGGUCCUAAUAUCUAUAUAGUAUAUUCCUACGUUCGAUUUGAAAUAAUGAAAAGGAAGGAACCUUAAAAAUAUUAAAGCAAGAGUAGUAAUAAUAAUAAUACAGUCAUAUAGAACAUGAAAUAAAGAUUUACUAAUGAACUAAGAAAAUUAAUAUUAAAAUAGUAAAACAGAGCUAAGGAUGCAAGAAAGAAAAUCGAGAGUGGUGGUCAGCGAUGGGGUGCGGUGGUGCGUGGCGGCGUGUGCGAGGUGGUCGGAGGUGGAUGGGGAAGAAAGGAGAAGAAUAGAAUAGAAAGGGAAAGAGAAGAGAAAUAAAAGUGGAAAAUAAAGGAUGAGGGUGAAAAAAAUUGAGGAGUAGUGGGGAGAAGAAGGGAGAAUGAGAAGGGGGUUUGUGGGUGAAGGGAAAAGGCUUAAAUGGUGAAAAGGGGGGAAAAGGAAAGAAAGAUGAAGAAAAAGAAAGGAGGAAAAAGGGUGGCUGGAGGAAGAAGAUGAUGAAUAGUAAAUAGGAUAGGGAAAAAGUUAGGGUUAAGGGUAAUUUAAAAGGGGCCACGGUUGUGUAAGCCCCAUUUUAGGCUACACGGCCAUGGCCCAUGCCCGUGUGUCUGGGUUGUGUGGUUCGUAGCCGUGUGCACGUUCAUUCGCUUCUCCCACGUCCGUGCUGGAUUCUCCAUGCCCAUGUUCAUGGUUUAUGCUUAUGAAUUGAUGUUUCAAGUCAAUAUCGCAAACUGCCGAUGGACACGCCUUUGUCUCUAGGUCACACGGCCACAUCGCAUGGCCAUUUGUGCUCCAUUUGUUUCUCCCACGCCCGUGUCCCAUCCAACACGCCCGCGUCUAUUAGUUAGGAUUAUGCACGACCCUUAAGCACAGCCGUGGCUUUCAUUCGUGUUCUAUCCUGACUUCAUUUAUUGUUUUGAUUUUUGGGCAAGUCCUCACACGGCCUCACAUACGCCUGUGUAUCAGGCCAUGUGACUCCCACGGCCAACUCGUACGGUCGUGGUGUUUUAUCUUAGGUCGUGUCUCUACUGAAUUUUUGUGAAAAUUAAGGUGCAGUUUUACCACAGUCUAAGACACGUCCGUGUCCCUUAACCGUGGGCUUCACAAGGCCGUAUCGUACGACCGUGGCUCUCUUGUCACAACCCGUGUGCCUCUGUUUUGGGAAAAAUGUAAGUCCUGUUUCAGCACGGCCUUGGCCAUGCCCAUGGGUCCAGGCCAUGUUCAAUACUAUUGAUCAUCUCAUUAAAGUGCUCAAGGUCUACACGGUUCCAAGCAUGCCCGUGUCUCCAUCCCAUGGGUGUCACACGGCAUAGGACAUGCCCAUGGGUCCAGGCCGUGUUCUCCCCUGUCAAAUGCCAUAAUUACCUACAGUUGAACUAUAAACAGUUAAAGAAAAAGUAAACCCUAUUUAGUGAGGUUAGUGCUUGGGUUGCCUCCCAAAAAGCGCUUAUUUAAAGUCUAAGCUCGACUUUACCUUGUGACAUAUUUAGGUAGGUUCGUGGAGCCGUAGCUCCUCUCUAUUAUCCUUAAAAUCCUCACUAUUAUAAAGUUUAAGACGAUGUCCAUUGACCUUGAAGGUGCUGUGAGUUGGAUGACUUACCUCUACUAUGCCAUAUGGAAAAAUAGUUUGGACGAUGAAUGGACCUAACCAUCGUGAUUUUACCUUCCCAGGAAAUAAUUUGAGCCUUGAGUUGUAUAGCAAGACAAGAUCUCCAGCUUCAAAUUGCUUAUGUUGCUUUAAAUGAGCAUCAUGGCGAUGUUUCGUGGCUUCCUUGUAUAGGCGUGAAUUAUCAUAUGCAUUAGUUCGUCACUCAUCUAACUCGUUCAACUGCAUCAACCUGUUUUCACCUGCAAGUUUGAGAUCGAAGUUUAGAAACUUUAUGGCCCAGAAUGCCUUGUGUUCUAACUUAAACGGUAGAUGACAACUUUUUCCAUAAACAAGUUUGUAAGGGGAUGUUCCUAUGGGGGUUUUAAAAGCAGUUCUAUAAGCCUAAAUCAUCAUCUACUUUCAUCGCCCAAUCCUUCCUGUUUGAUUCUACUGUCUUUUUUAGGAUACUUUUAAGUUCUCGGUUGGCUACUUCGACUUGUCCACUAGUUUGAGGAUGGUAAGGUGUAGCUGUUCUAUGGUGAACUCCGUAUUUCAUAAGGGUCUUAUCAAAUUGGGCAUUAGAAAAAUGAGUACCUCUAUCACUGAUAAUUUCUCUAGGUGUUCCAAAUCGAGAGAAGAGUUUCUUAAGGAAUCGUACUACCACUCUAACAUCAUUAGUAGGUAAAGCUUGGGCUUCCACCCAUUUGGACAUAUAAUCGAUGGCUACUAAGAUGUAUUUAUUCCCAAAUGAACUAGGGAAUGGACUCAUAAAGUCGAUACCCCAAACAUCAAAUAUUUCACAUGAAAGCAUGUACGUUUAGGGCAUUUCGUCACGUUUAGAGAUAUUACCUGUUCGUUGGAAUUUAUCGCAAUUAGCAACAUACCUGUUUGCGUCUUUGAAUAGUGUAGGCCAAUAAAAACCUGAUUCGAGUGUUUUAUGUGCGGUCUUAUUUCCACUGUAAUGUCCCCCAGUCAGUCCUGAGUGGAAAUACUCUAAUAUUUUAAAUGCUUCUGACCUUGUAACGCAUCUCCUAAUGACUUGAUCUGCACAUAUACGGAAAAGAAAAAGGUCUUCCCAAAAGUAGUUUUUCACAUCAGUAAAGAAUCGCUUCUUUUGCUGAUGUGUCAACCCUUUUUGGAUAACUUUAGCGGCUAAAAAAUUCGCAAUGUCUGCAAACCAAGGUACUUCAGAAUAAGAUAUAGCAAAGAAUUGUUCUUCAGGAAAUGAAUCAUUUAUUUCAACUUCAUCUAGCUCUUUGGUACUUGAAUUUUCAAGCCUGGAAAGAUGAUCAGCCGCGAGAUUUUCAGCUCCUUUCUUAUCCUGAAUCUCCAAGUCAAAUUCCUGCAAUAACAGAAUCUAUCGAAUGAGUCGAGGUCUUGCAUCAGUCUUAGUUAAAAGGUAGCGAAGAGUAGAAUGGUCAGUAUAAACAACAACUCUAGACAAUAUUAGAUAUGACCUAAAUUUAUCGAAUGCAAAAACCACAGCUAGCAGCUCUUUCUCUGUGGUGGUGUAGUUUUCUUGUGCGGCUGUCAAAGUUUUGCUAGCAUAAUAGAUAGGUUGAAAAUGCUUGUCUCUUUCACUACAGGAAAAUAGGGUUUUAGCGGCGUUUAAUCAAAAAAUGCCGCAAAAAUUGUAAAACACAGAGCAAUAGUGGCGUUUUACCAAAAACGCCGCUAAAAACGGAGCAAUACCGGCAUUUUUUGUUAAAACGCCGCUAAAAAUAGAGAAAUAGCGGCUCUUUUGGUAAAACGCCGCUAAAAACCAGAGCACUAGCAGCGCUUUUGGUAAAACGCCGCUAAAAACCAGAGCAUUAGCGGCGCUUUUUGUAAAACGUCGCUAAAAACCAGAGCAUUAGCGGCGCUUUUUGUAAAACGCCGCUAAAAACCAUAGCAUUAGCGGUGCUUUUUGUAAAACGCCGCUAAAAACCAGAGUAUUAGCGGCGUUUUUUGUAAAAUGCCGCUAAAAGUCAUAUAACCCCUAAAAUAUUAAACCCCAAAAAAUAUCAUAAACACUAAUCUAUAACCCUUAAACGAGUAAACCCUUAAACCUUAAAAACACUAAACACUAAAUUAUAUCCCCUAAAACCCUAAACCCUCCCACCGCCAAGAUUCACCCCUCCCACCAGCCUUCCUGUCAAUAUCCCGUAAUCCCAUCUAUCAUUUUCCCCGUUUUUUCCCAUUUCUAUUUCCCCCUUUUUCCUCAUCCUAAAUCCCUAAAGUAUUAUCACCCAUUCCAGAAUUCGACAUCCCAAAUCCCUAACGAUUUUUCCCCGAUUUGAAUUCCCCAAGAUUCACCCCUCCCACCGGCCUUCCAGUCAAUACCCCGUAAUUAUUUUUGGUAUAUGACAAAUUAUUUUUUAAUUUAUAUGUUAAAUAUUUUCUUAUAUAAUUGUAAAAGAGAUUGUAUUAAUUUUAAAAUAUUGAAUUGAUUAGCAUUAUAGUUUAGGGUUUAUGGUAUAUGGUUAAUGGUUUAAUGUUUAUGAGUUACUAUUUUAAGGUUUAGGGAUUAUGGUUUAAGUGUGGUUUAAGGGUUAGGGUUUAAGGUUUAGGUGUUAGGAGUUAGGGGUUAGGGGUUAAGGAUUCAUGAUCAGGGUUUAUGUUUUAGGAUUUACGGUUUAGGGAUUAGGAAUUUAGGGUUUAAAUUAAUUAGUAUUUUUUAAUUUAUAUGAUAAAUAUUUUAUUAUAAAAUUAUAAAAAAGAGUAUUAAUUUUAAAAUAUUGAGUUAAUUAUAUUUAGAGUUUAGAGUUUAUGGUUUAUGGUUUAAGACUUAUGAUUUAGGGUUUAGUUUUUAGUGUUUAGGGAUAAAUAUGGGGAUCAGGGUGCAAUUGUAUAUAUGAACUUUAAUUUAAUCUAGUUCUUAUAAAUUAUUAACACAAUUAUUGAUAUAACAUCAUUUUAUAUUUAUAUAUUGCAUACAUAAAUAUUUAUAUUUAUUCAAUAUAAAAAUAUAUUAAUGUAUUUAUUUUUUAAAAUCUCUAUGAUUAAAUCAAGAAUAAAAAACUUAAACAUUUAAUAUUUAAAAUUUAAAAUUUUAGUCCAUAUUUCAAUUAAAAAGUUUAAUAUUCAAAAUUUAAAAAAAUCUAAAAAAUGAUAAUCUCAACACAAAAAUUUUGAAAGAAAAAAUUAGAAAAAAAUAUGUUAAAAAUAAAAAAAUUAAAAUUGAACAAUAGUAGCGUUUUUAGUGAAAACGCCGCAAAAAAUUAAAGAGGCCAUUAUUUUUUAUAAAAAAAAAAGCAAAAUCCCGCUCAUCCAAUUUGUUUACCCGCUCAUUAAUCAAAUCCCUAAAUACUCCUUUUACUCUCAAAAUUUGAAUUCACCCACCAUAGCUACUCCUUUUCUAUCGAUCUGUUAGGGUUUUGGAGAAACAAAUAGAUAUUGAAGAGAAGGAGAACGAGGAAAAAGAAGAAGAAGAAGAGGAAGAGAAGACGGGGGAGGAGGAAGAAGAAGAGAGUGAAGAUGAAGGGACUAAAAAGGUCAAAGGUAGUAGUAGAAAGGGGAGUUCUAGGAAAUCUGGUCGAGAUUCGGCUGAGAAGAAAGAGCCAGUGACGCCUAGUAGUGAAGAUGGGUUCAUCGCCUGCACCACUUCCGUCCAACGAUAGUACUGCCAUUGAUCAAAGAGUUGCUUUCAUUCUCCUUUUACUUGCUCUGGCCCUCUAUGUUAUACCAUAGCUCCAGUUAACGAUGGGAUUAAUUAACGAUGGGAUUAAUUAAAGUUGCAUAACUCCAGUUAAUCUUGGCCCUCUUUGUCUUUUCUCUUUGGUAUCUAAACUGGUUAUAUUAACGUUUUUGUUUCUAGUAUUUAUAGCUUCUACUUUGGAAUCAGAAGUUAUUGGUAGGAAGUGUUGAGAAUUGGAGCUAAUUUGGUGUAAUACGCUUGUUUGACAGGUUUCAUGGUUUCUUUUGGAAGGCAGCCAGAAUAGGUGGGUCUCCUUUGCUGCUUGGUUAACUUCUUUCUGGUUGCAUUGAGAAUUUGGAAUAGUCAUGUAAUCUAAUGAUUUUGAUCCUAAUAAUAGCUCCUUUUCGUUUUUUUUUUAAUUUGGGGUUCUUUUUAUGACUAUUUGCAUGUUUGCUUCUUUCGAUUAUGUUACUGUUCUUUGGAUGAUCAAAAUUCCUAUCUGAAGAAAUUUAGUCCAAAUUUGUUUCUGUUUUGCUUUCUUAAUAAUGGGUUGUCAAAUAUGACGUUAAUUUACACUUCAUUUUUUUGGGUUUUUUUUAAAAUAAUUAUUUG